AAAAAAAACUAACCCCAUUGAUGAUGCGAGAUCCUUCCGCAAUGACUCUCGGCCUCGCCGAUUCCUUCGUAGGAGGAGGAGCAUCGAAACCUGGUGGCAGAUCAGCAAAGAAAUCAUCGAAAUCCAGAAUAGGGACCUCGCUCGAACCACUCCCAUCGCCGUAAGCAAGGUUUGGAUCCCAUCCUGGAAGCAUAGAGUCAUCCAUCGAAAAUUCUAUGUCGCCAAGAUCGACAUCUUUUCCCUUCCAAGAGCUCGACUCCGGCACAGCUCUUGGAGCUUCGACGGGAUUCUGGUCGUCAGGUUCGGAGUCACUUCCCGUGUUCGCAGCCGAAGCAGGUCCGGGUUGCACGAAUCUCAAUGCCCUCUGAACCCUCUUCGGCGUAAAAGAAGUCCAGAAGAAAGGACCGUUCCUGAGAAGAUCUCUCACCGCAAUGAUGUCCUCAGGGAACGGAGCAAGAGGGUUGAUGAAGGGACGAUCAUUCGGCAACCUCCGGAACAGUGGAAUGCAACUCUCUUCGACGGACGCAGCGUCUAUACGAACAAAGAAAAAGAACUUCUUCCACGAGUUGAAGUUCGAAAUGAACUUCUUAACCACUGACAUAAAUUUCUGAGGGACCAACCUAUGCUUAUCCGUAUCUGUGACAAGUUGGAGCCUCAAAAGCGCUUCAUAAUGAUCGACGGAAAGGGAAAGACCAUGCUCGUAGCUUAGGAUCAGGAUCCCAAUGAGAUGCUGAAUGGCGAGGGGAGUCAACUGACUUAUCGCAACUUCGAAACGGUCCAACACUCGGACGAGAAUUUCGGGUAUUGGGAACCAUAGACGACAACGCAUGACGAACACCUCAUAGCAAGUGAAGUAACCCUCUGGGGGGCUGUUAGCGCAUUCCCCGCGGCAGGGAACCCGGAACUCCACAGCAUCCGAGAUAUGGUAGAACGAUCGCAUGAUCGAGAGAAACUCGUCGGUACUCCUGCUUGCAUCCCCUUUCUCGACUCCACGAUGGAUCAGGACCGGGAACGACUUCUCCUUGGGAGGAGUCAUCGAACCGUAAUGAGCAACCCACCAUGCCUCGUUCUCGGCGGGAUGUACCGAGUGAGGCACGAACUCCAUCUUCGGAACAAUGAGCUCUUCAUAAGCACUCGCGGACGAAGACCCUUUUUCGCAACAUUUUUCUUGCUCGACAUCUUUACACUUCUCUUGAGAAAAUAGAGGAAAAGGAUGGAUAGAAAAGAAGAUUUUCUUAAGAAAGAUCUUAGACAAGAAAGUGAAAAAAUUGUGAAACAAGUUACCUCCCUUCUUAUAGGCAUGAGGAUUUACUAUUCAAGCUCGGACUUUCGGAUAUUAAUUCCAUCCAUCACGCCUAACUUACCAAACAUGCCUAACCGCACGCUAGGAUCCUACGGUGCAUGAUCCUAACGGGCUGGGGGGCUAACUGUUGGGGUCAAAAACGGUCACGACGGAAUUACCACCCGAAAAUCCUCGGAGAUCGUAUUUCCGAAAGAGAUAGUAAAAAGAUGAUACAAAUUUCGUAAAGUAUAACCAAUACAAAGUUUUUACGAAGAAGUAUCCUUUGAGAUUCAAACCGAACAAACCAAGCUCGAUCACCACGCAUACACGCCGUCCGGUCGCUAUACAGCAACCAAACCCGAGCCAAGCUCGGUCGCUACGUAGCGACCGAGCGUCCGUCUCGCUCGGUCGCUACGUAGCGACCGAGCUCGAGCCAAAGCUCGGUCGCUACGUAGCGACCGAGCGAUCGUCCCGCUCGGUCGCUACGUAGCGUCCGUGUUCGAGCCAAAGCUCUGUCGCUACGUAGCGACCGAGCCAUCGUCUAACGACCGAGCUCGAGCCAAAGCUCAGUCGCUACGUAGCGACCGAGCGAUCGUCCCGCUCGGUCGCUACGUAGCGACCGAGCGAUCGUCCCAUUCGGUCGCUACGAAGCGACCGAGCUCAAGCCAAAGCUCGGUCGCUACGUAGCGACCGAGCACUCGUCCCGCUCGGUUGCUACGUAGCGACCGGGCUCGAGCCGAAGUUCAGUCGCUGUGUAGCGAUUGAACUCUUCCGCACAUCGACAGACAUCAAUCCAUUCAUUCUAGUCAAAUCUUCGAACGCUAUCUCCCGAAGACUGUAGCAAGCUCAGUCCAUGUUUUCCGCUAUUCCAACUCAUCGAUCAAACUUCGCGGAUGAGAAACCGCGGAAAAUUCGUAGUAAACAUGUCGAGUCGGAAGACGGUCCAAAGGGACCUAAAACACGACUCGAGGCCCAUCCUACGAUUUCCUAACCCAAAGCCCGUAAACUGCAGCACGGUUUACGCUUGGCCCACAAGGAAGGAUAAAUGUCAAGUUUCCGCGGAUAAAUAAGGAAGUUUUGAAGAUAAUUGUGAAGAUCGGGAAAAAUGGAAUAUCUCCAUUUUUAUGCUAUGACGGCUUAAGGGCAGAAGAGUAAAAGCGUAAACCGACCUUGGAGCUAGUAUAUAAGGAGUCCUAGGCGAGGAGCAUGGAAGAGAACUUUUUCAGAGCAAACUUAGCACUUAGAGCAAUUUAGGCAAUUUUCUGUUUUUGUUAUUUCGAGCUGCGACUCAAUUAGGUUUAGCCGUCUUAGGGUUUUCCUAGUUUCCUUAUUUAAACGGAAAUCGACGGUGUAAAUUUCGGUUCCCACAAGAGCUUUGGCCGCAAAGGCUGUCAGCGAGUUACUUAGUUCUAGCGGCCUAAAAGCUCAAACCUAGUUGAGUCGCAGCUCGAUAACAAAAGACGAAAAAGAUACGUAAAAGGUUUUUGAUUGAUUUCGGACUGAACCUUGUUAAAGGCUGCCUACGUACCCCUUUCGAGGAUCAAGCCGAACGUAGUUCAGUUGAUAGAACUGGACAAGAGAUCGAACUGCCUGGGCGAGUUUGUCUAGUAAUUGAGUGCCAGUCAUGGAAACCUAACUUGUUGAGAAUAAAGCCUAAAGUUUCUAAGUGCAGAGAAUUCCGAGUCUAAAAAGUUCUCUCCCCAUGCCUCUCGCCUAGGACUCCUUAUAUACUCGCUCCUAGGUCGGUUUACGCUUUUACUCUUCUGCCCUUAAGCCGUCAUAGCAUAAAAAUGGAGAUAUUCAAUUUUUUCCGAUCUUUGUAAUUAUCUUCAAAAUUCUGUAUUUAUCCGCAGAAACUUGAUUACUAUCUUCCCUUGCGAAUCAAGCGUAAACCGUCCUAUAGUUUACGGGAUUUUGGUUAAGAAAUCGUAUGAUGGGCCUCGAGUCGUGUCUUAGGUACCUUUGGGCCGUCUUCCGACUCGAAGCGUUUACUGCGACUUCUUUCGAUAAAGAACGAACUUUCGGCGGUUUUAUCCGCAAAGUUUGAUUGAAGAUUUAGAAUGGCGGAAAACAUGAACUAAGUUUGCUACGGUCUUCGGGAGAUAACAUCAAAGGAUAGACGAGAGUGCAUCGACUGGUGUCGAAUCGACGUUUUGGAAGAGCUCGGUCGCUAGGUAGCGACCAAGCGAAAUAGAGACGCUUGGUCGCUACAUAGCGACCGAGCGGGACGGACGCUUGGUCGCUACGUAGCGACCGAGCUUGGCUCGAGCUCGGUCGCUACGUAGCGACUGAGCGGAACGGACGCUCGGUCGCUACGUAGCGACCGAGCGGAAUGGACACUCGGUCGCUAUGUAGCGACCGAGCUUGGCUCGAGCUCGGUCGCUACGUAGCGACCAAGCGGAAUGGACGCUCGGUCGCUACGUAGCGACCGAGCUUGGCUCGAGCUCGGUCGCUGCAUAGCGACUGAGCGGGACGGACUCUCGGUCACUACGUAGCGACCGAGCUAGGUUCGGGCUCGGUCGCUAUGUAGCGACCGAGCUGUGUGCAUGCUUGGUCGCCGCGUAUCGAUCGAGCUUGGCUUGUCCGUGGUCCGAUUUCCAUACCCGAGCUUGUCCGUGGCCGAUUUGGAUACAUGUCCGUUGCCCUCGGACAAUGGGUAUUUAGUGAUUCGAUUGAGAUUUGAACAAGAUUUUACCGCAAGGCUCUUCGUAAAGAUAUCUUUACGAAGAUUAGUUUUCGUAAAAACGUUCAUGCUGAUUUUUACGGACUUUCAGACAUUGAUUCCGUUGUGCCGAUUUUGACCCCAAGAAAUCACAUGGGACUGCGAUAAAGAAAGUGCUGCGUUACCUACAAGGGAGCAUCUCAAAUGGGUUAGUGUUCGAUAAUUCGGCAACAAAGCUACCAAAGAUCGUGGGAUAUAGCGACAACAGCUAUAAUGUUGAUCCAGACGAUGGUAAGAGCACAACCGGUCACAUAUUUUAUCUAGGAGAAAGUCCCAUUACGUGGUGCUCUCAGAAACAAGAGACAUUCGCCUUGUCAUCAUGUGAAGCUGAAUUCAUGGCGGGCACAGAAGCGGCAAGACAAGCAAUAUGGCUUCAAGACCUAUUAAGUGAAGUAACCGGCCAGCAAAGUGAAAAGGUGGUGAUUCAUAUUGAUAAUCAAAGUGCAAUUGCUUUAACAAGAAAUCCAGUGUUUCAUGGGAAAAGUAAGCACAUACAUAGAAGAUAUCAUUUUAUUAGAGAAUGUGUGGAGAACGGGCAAGUGGAAGUUGAGUAUGUACAAGGAGAUAAGCAGAAGGCUGACAUACUAACAAAAAGCUUUAGGUCGAGUUCGGUUCAAGGAGAUGAGAGACUACAUUGGCAUGAAGAAUAUGGCGAUGAAGAACUUUGAGCUUAAAGGGGAGAAUGUUGGAUUAAGCUCAAAGAUAGCUUGAGAGCUAAGCUACCUAAUCCUAUAGAGUUAUAUAUAAGGAGAUGCAAAGUACGUUGCAUAACUUAUGAGUUUGAGAGCUUAAGGUUUUUGAGAUAGUUUUCCUUAAGAGAUUAAUAAGAAGAGUAUCUUAUACAAGUUGAGUUCAUAGCUUGUGUUCGUGAGGCAUUGAUAUCGUGUGACUUGAUUUUUAUAGGCUGGAGUAGGUUAAAAUCUUCCAUAUUCAGAAAUAUGGAAGGUUCUCCUUAUCGGAAGAUUUCUUUUUUCUCGUGGGAAGGGGGCGGUCCCUGGGACCGGACCCAGAAUACUUCAUAGCGGGGAACCGGGGUGCCUCCUAGCGGGGACCCAGAGGCCGGUGUCUUGUCUGGGGUCUGGAGAAAUUCAAUACCUGAGUAUUUUUCCCCAACAUUUUUCCAUUAAGGAAAGUUGUUUUCACAUCCAUUUGCCAAAUCUCAUAGUCAUAAUGAGUGGCAAUUGCUAGGAGAAUCCGAAUGGAUUUAAGCAUUGCAACUGGUGAAUAGGUUUCAUCAUAGUCAAUACCAUGAAUUUGUUUGUAACCUUUAGCCACCAAUCUAGCUUUCUAUAUCCGUAUAUAUCCAUGUCAGUUUUCUUCUUGAAAAUCCAUUUACACUCAAUGGUUUUAACACCAUCAGGUAAAUCAACCAAAGUCCACACUUUAUUUACUGACAUAGAGUCCAUUUCGGAUUCUGCGGCUUCUAGCCAUUUAUCGGAGUCUGGGCCCAUCAUAGUUUCCUCAAAGGACGUAGGUUCAUCACUCUCUAUUAUCAAUAAAUCACGAUGAUCUGUCACCCAAACCCCAUAUCUAACAGGUUCGUGACGUGUCCUUUCAGACCUACGUACUUCAGGUUCCAUAGGUGUAGAUUCAACGACUCUUCGUAAUUCUAAUUGAUCAUCUUCCUGAGAGGAUGAAACAUUUUUCUAUGUUUUUCGAACUUCUUCGAGUUGUACUUUACUCCCAUUGUUCUUCUUAGAAAGAAACUUUCUCUCAAGAAAAACGCCACUACGAGCAACAAACACUUUGUUCAGUGGAUUUGUAAAAGUAAUAACAUUUGGUUUCGUUGGGAUAACCAACGAAGAAGCAUUUUUCAGAUUUUGGUCCAAGCUUAUCUGUAAACAUACGUUUGACAUAAGUAUCAACCCCAAAUUCUUAGAAAAGACAAAUUUGGAACCUUUUGUCCACAUCUCAUAUGGAGUCUUUUCAACUGAUUUUGAUGGACAUCUAUUCAGCGUAAACGCAGACGUUUCUAGAGCGUAUCCCCAAAAGGAUGGUGGAAGAUCUUCAUGACUCAUCAUAGAUCGAACCAUAUCUAAUAAAGUUCAAUUUCUCCUUUCUAACACACCAUUCCAUUGUGGUGUUCCUGGAGGAGUGAGUUUUGAAACAAUUCCACAUUCUCUCAGAUGAACAUUAAACGCUUGACUCAAAUAUUCUCGACCUCGAUCAGAUCGAAGAGCUUUUACUUUCUUGUCAAGCUGAUUUUGUACUUCAUUCUGAAAUUCUUUGAACUUUUCAAAAGAUUCAGACUUAUGGUUCAUUAGAUAAACAUAACCAUAUCUACUGAAGUCGUCAGUAAAUGUAAUGAAGUACUGAUAGUUUCCUCUAGCAUGUAUACUCAUUGGUCCACAUACAUCAGUAUGUAUAAGUUCUAACAAGUCUUUGGCUCUUUCACCGUGUCCAGUAAAAGGAGUCUUAGCCAUUUUACCCAAUAAACAAGAUUCACAUUUUUCAUAUGAUUCAUAAUCAAAUGAGCUCAAAAGUCCAUCACUAUGAAACUUUUGAAUGCGUCUAUCAUUUAUGUGGCCCAAACGACAAUGCCAAAGAAAAGUCUGAUUCGUGUCGUUAGACUUGAAUCUUUUGGUACUGAUAUUAUAGACAUGCAUGCUUUGGUCUAGAAUAUAAAGUUCAUUCUCUAAUGGAUCGUUACCAUAAAAGAUAUCAUUACGAUCAAAGGAACAACACUUGUUUUUGAUCGAAAACUGAAAUCCUUCCAAAUACAAACAAGGAAUGAAAAUAAUAUUCCUACUUAUAGCAGGUACAUAGUAGCAAUUCUUAAGUUCUAAAACCAAGCCUGAAGGUAAAGACAAGUCAAAUAUUCUCACGGCUAAUGUAGCAACUCUUGCUCCAUUUCCAACUCUAUUGUUGCUUAGGCGAUUCAUAUUCAUACAUAUAUGAGCACCACAGCCGGUAUCCAAUACCCAUGAAAUAGACCCAGAAAUAGUAACAUUUACUUCUAUAACAUAAAAUAUCUCUAGACGAUGUUUCAAAAGUCUUUUUCUUUUUCAGAUCUUCCAAGUAGGGUUUAAACUCUUGUUUGAGAACAAUUCUCGGGUUUCGAUACCAGUGGAGGAAAUUUGAUCCAUUUAAUUUGUCUUUCUGAAGGGCAUAUUGGAAUGAAAAUGGGUUGUUAGGAGUUAACAUUGCUGGAAUAGAAGAAUAGCGAAUAUUAAUAUGAUGUUCAAGAUUAGAGAAAUCUCAACAGUUAAGAAAACUCAUAUUAUAUUCAAACAAUUUCUUCAAAUGAAUAUAAUAAUCCAAGAUCCAUAUUUCACUAAAAUUCGAGUGAGCUUUGGCUCAUCGCCCAAAUGUUUAGCUAUUUAGGUAAGCAACAUUUUGCUAACUAUAUCAAAUAUAAUUUUUUGUUGUCAGACGACAUCUUAUGUCUUAUCCAACCUAUGUCUCUAAGCCCAAAACCGUUUUGAUAGCCUAGUCAAGUAAACCAAUCUUAUAUUCAUAUGGUAACUGUUACCAUCUACCUCCCUUAUGUAAUUGCAGACACCUUACUUUGGCAAGCCCAUCUUACAACAAAACAAGCCUUGAUAAUUGAUAAGAUUGGGUAGACAUCAAAAGUACUUGAAAUUAAUUAGGAACAAAUUUUAAUUUAAUUUUAACUUAUAUUUAAAAUUUAUAUCUAAUAUAAAUAUAAAUAUAACUAAUACAUAUCUUAUAUGUAUUUUAAUUGAAUUAAAUAAUUAAUUUAAUCUAAUUAAUAUAAUUAAUUAUUUAUAUAUUUGAUUUUAUAAUUUAAUCUAAUUAAAAUCUGAUCAAACGACCAAACCAAUUGUAUUAAACAACCUAAACCAACCGUUGGUUCAAUUGGUAAUAUACACAUCUCAUAUGUGUUUUAGGUUAAUUUAGAAACACGCAUUCAAAUAUUACAAUAACUAGGUGUUUUGUCCGCACACGCAUGCUUAAUUAUUUUACAAAUAUUUAUUAGUUUAUUUUAUAUUAAUUCGAAAACCAGCAUAAUAACUUUAUACAAAUUUAGUUGAUUAAUAUUUAAUUAUGAAUUUUUUAUAUGUUAUUUUCCUAAAUUUUAUAAUUGAAAACAAAAAUUAAGAUAACAACACAAUAUAUAAGAAUUAUCUUAUUUAAAAAAAAUCUAAUAUUAUGAAUAAGAUUUUGUUUUUAAUAUGUAAUUAAGAUAACAACAAAAUAUAUAAGAAUUAUCUUUUUAAACAUUAAUAAUAAUAUUAUUGAUAGAAAUUCAUUUUUGAUUAUAUAGUUAAUUAUAUAUAAAAUUCAUUAAGGGUCUUAAAUUUUAUAAUUAAAAAUAUGUUUUAAGAUAACAACAAAAUAUAUAAAAAUUAUCUUUUUAAAAAUUAAUAAUAAUAUUAUUAAUAAAAAUUCAUUUUUUAUUAUAUAGUUAGUUAUAUAUAAAUUCAUUAAGGGUAGUAUAGAUAUUAACCACUCUGUCUUUUAAUGUGAAACUUUUAUAAUUGAAAAAAAAAAUUAAGAUAACAACACAAUAUAUAAGAAUUAUCUUAUUUUUUAAAAAAAUCUAAUAUUCUAAAUAAAAUUUCGUUUAUAAUUAUGUAAUUAAUUAUAUAUAAAAUUCAUUAAGGGUUUUAAAUUUUAUAAUUAAAAAUAUGUUUUAAGAUAACAACAAAAUAUAUAAGAAUUAUCUUUUUAAAAAUUAAUAAUAAUAAUAUUAAUAGAAAUUCGCUUUUGAUUAUAUAGUUAAUUAUAUAUAAAUUCAUUAAGCAUAGUAUAGAUAUUAAUCGCUCUAACUUUUAACGUGAGAGCUCCGUUGUAAAAAUAAUAUGUUUUAAGAUAACAACAAAAUAUAUAAGAAUUAUCUUUUUAAAAAUUAAUAAUAAUAUUAUUAAUAGAAAUUCGUUUUUGAUUAUAUAGUUAAUUAUAUAUAAAUUCAUUAAGAGUAGUAUAGAUAUUAAUCACUCUAACUUUUAAUGUGAGAACUCCGUUGUAAAAAUUUACUUCGCAAAUAAUAAUAUAGACUAGUAAUCAAUGCAGUAGUUGAGAUAUUUUGUAGUUGUGUAUGCAUAUGAUAAUGCGAAUUACAGUGAUCAGAAUUUUAAGAAUCUCGUGAGCAGUCAUAUAUCAAACCCAUAAAAAUACAUUUGUAAUAAUUAUUACGAAACAAUCAAUGUUUAAUAAAAAAAAUAACACACAUAUUUUCGAAGUUUAGUUAUACUUAUAUAUCUGACGUGUAUUAUUACUGUGUUAUUUAUAUAGAUUUUUUAUUUUUGUAAAAAAGAUUAAAAAGAUGUGGAAAAAGCUGUAGAUUGAGAUGGAUAAAUUAUCUUAGAUCAGAUCUCAAGCGCGGGAACAUAACUCUAGAAGAAGAAGAACUCGUUGUUAAAUUGCAUUCCACAUUGGGAAACAGGUACAAUUCUUAUUUAGCUAUUUCCAAAAAUUUCGAAUUUACUUUUGGAUUAAUAAUGAUUGAAAUCGAUCGGUCAAAUAAGCAAGGCUUAGUGUUAAACUAACUCUCUUAGUUUAAAGAUCUUUAUGUGAACAAUUUACAGUAGAUAAUAAAAGUUACAGUGAUAAAAUAAACUAUUCAAUGUUGUUGAACCGUCUUUUUAAUUGUCCAUUGUGGGUCUCCCUCUUGAAGCUUGUAUAACCCUUGGUUGAUUUCUUGUCAGACUAUUCUCUGAACUCCUAUUCUCUUUUAGCUGAGGCAAACAACAUGUACUCUCUAAUAAAUGUACACUUCACUUUAUCACAUACGCCCUAACUGGAACGUAUACAUAUCCAUGUGAUAUUCUAAAUAUUAGAAAAGGUUUUACUCUCAAGGUUCUAAAAUAUUUUUAGAAUCUUGAAAGUAUAACCCCCUAGUUAGCAUAUUCAAAAUCUCCUAAAGUAUGUGAAUAACUUUUUCAAAAAAAAAUAAAAUUUAGUUCUUCAGGAAAAAAACUUCUUCAAAAAAUAUCUGAAUAACUUGAGUCACUGUCACCGUUAUUGUUGACAUUGCUCGAGUGAUAUUCUCGUAUAUUAUAUUAUUUUGAAAAACAAUUUGUACAUCAUAUUCAUAAUUUUAGUAACAAUUUAUUUGAUUAAUAUUUAAUUAUAUAAUUUAUGUUUUAAAUUUUUUACUAAAUUACUCUUUCAUAUAACAAUAUAAUAUAUAUUUAAAUUUUUUUUAAUUAUAUUUUUAAAUUUUGAUUAAUUCAAUGUUCUAUUUUUAAUUAUAUAAUUAAGAAUUUUGUUUGAUUAAUAUUUAGUUAUAUAAUUAAUGUUUUUAUCUUUUUACUAAAAGACUUUUUCAGAUAACAAUACAAUAUAUACAGAAAUUAUCUCUUUUUAAAAUUAUAUUUUCAGAUUUUAGAUAAUUCUUAUUAUUAUUAAUUUUAAUCAAUUAUCUAAUCAAAUAAAUUAAUUUUUUUUUUUUAAUUUAGUUACACAUUUUAUUCAUUAAGGGUAUAAACGAUAUUAACCACUCUAACUUUUAACGUGAGAGCUCGAUUCCAAAAAUUUACUUCGCAAAUAAUAGUAUAGAUACGAUUGCCUCUUGAAAUUAUAUGUAUGCAACAUGCAACAUCUGUACAACAUGAACAAGAUCAUCACAUGACAACGCGUAUAUCUAGAUAUUCUUAAUCGGUUAAUUAUAAUAAUUGGAUUGAUCACAUCAAACAAAACUACAAUAUAACUUCUUUAAAUUAAUACUCUAUAAAUUAAUAUACACUAAAAAUAUCUAUAAAAUAAUAUAAUCUUAUAGUUCCAAAUUGAGUUUUUGGUUCAAUUAGUAUAUCGAUAAAUUAAUAUCUUUAUAAAUUAAUUAAAAAAAAUUAUAGUUUUGGUUUAGUACCAACAAUAUUAGUUUUUUUUUUUAACUCUUGUGAUAUUUUAUAAAAUUAAUGAUAAAUCACACACACUAGUAGAACCAAAACAACAAAAACAAGAACAUAUUUAAUUCCACGCAGCCGACAAUCAAACGAGAGUUUCCAUAGAACCUGAAUAAGCACGAGUUGAAACCAUAAGAACCAGAGACUUGAGGAAACCACAAACCAUAUAGGCCGAAACCACAAUCUCACAGGAACCAACCCGGCAGAAACUACAACGCCAAAACUGAAGCAGACACAGAGACAAAAGCCACUAAUAACACAUCUGCAACAAACCGCCAGCGACCAUGAAAAAUCAAAGCACAAGAUCAAAACUUGAAACUCGAAGAGGGGACAACAACUAAAAGGAUCAGCAGCUUAUACACGCGGACCCAACAAUAUUAGUUUAUAGAAGUUUAAAUGUAUUAUGAAUUAACAAAUAACCAUGCAUCUUUUAAUAAAGAGAAGCACUAACGCUUAAUGGUUAUUUUAACAACAUAUUGUUCUUACGCACGAAUCAGAUUACGCUUCUGCGAAAUUCAUAACUACGCCAAUUUAAUUAUCAUUGAAACUAUAAGAUUAUUUAUUUAUACCAAAUUAUCGACUAAAUAAGAUCUGAUUUCAGUAUUAAGCAAGUAAGCUCUGAUACUACUGUAGGAAUUCAUACAGGUUUAUAACGUUUUAUAAAUCUACUUAUGAAUUCAGUUUGCCUAGAAUCUCAUGUCACUAAUGAAAUAAACUUAGAUCUUAGAGUUUCGAAUAUAUCUGGUUAUUCUGCAGCGGAAGGACGAAUAAACCAAAUCGAAAUUUCUAGCACUACAAACGUCGUGCCUCUAUUGUAUCCACACACACAAACUAGAUCGAUACGGGAUGCUAGUACUGUUGAGACUUCUCUCAAGAACUCACGAACACUUCAUAUAUAUAAUUAAGUUGCAGCCAAGGGAAAAAUGUCCACAUAUCAUAAUAUGUGUUUGGUAUAUACAUGUAACCUAAAUCAAUUAGGUUUGCUUAUGGGCUCAGCCCAUACUUAACAUUGCUCUUUUAAUAAUAACUAAAUUUUGAUCUGUGGUUAAAGCGCGAAAUUUGAUUCUUUGUAAAUAUAUUAUUUUAUAGUUUAUAAAUUUUAUAUUAUAUUAUGGUUUAUGAAUCAUUAUUACUGUUUUAAAUUUGUAUAAAAAGAAAUAUAGAUGUAUUUCAUUAUGUAUUUUAUAUUAUACUCUGAUUUUUAUUUACUAUACUGAAUCAAUUUUCAAUAAUAUUAUAAAUUUUUAUAUAACUGUCUCUCAAUAUAAAGUUUUUUGGCGGUGUAAUAUUUUUUAUUUAUGAAACACCUAAUUUAUAAAAUUCGAAUUGGAUUUUUUUUUUGCAAGAAAAUAAAUAUAUGGAUUUAAUAUAUUGAUUGGUCUUUGUAACCAUUUUAUAUUUGUAACUCAUUUUUAAAUUUUAUUUGAAUACACUUAAAAUACAAUUUGUAUUAUGUUAUAUUUAUAUAUGGGUCAUAUGUGUAUGUAUGGUCAAUAAAGUAAUAUAGAAUAUAGAAUUUUCAGAAUCAUUGAUAAGUAUUAAUUUCAAAUUCAUUUUACGUGGUAGAAUAUAGAAUAUUAUUAGAAUAAUUGAUAAUCAUUAACUUUAUAAUUUUCUCAUAUUUUUUGUCAAAUAUUAUCUAGUGUGGAAUCAAAUCUUUUGAAAGUACAAUAUCUAUAUAAAUUUUUCUACAGUUUCAAAAUAUAUAUGUAAUAUCUAUAAAAAAAUACAAUAUCUAUAUUAAUUUAUCUACAGUUUCAAAAUAUAUAUGUAAUAUCUGUUUUCAACACUUUUUAGUGAUGUUUUUCUAUUACUAUGACUAUCAAACAUGCUAUUGUAUUUUUUUGAUUGAUGUCUAAUAUCAAUACUAAAAUGAAAACGUUCAUAUUUAUUUAUUGACUAUAUUAUGCAUAUCAUGUAGUUGUAUAUUAAUAAUAACAUCAAUAGUUCAGAAUAUUAUAGUCAUAUAUUAAUUAUAAGUAAUAUCAACUUACGAUUUGAAGCAUGUAUUAAUUUGUUUUGAUGUUUGUCUUUUAAGCUAAUCAAUAAAUUUCUAAAUUGUCCAACAUGAGUAUAUAUUGUGAGAUAUGAACAUUAAUAGGGGAAGUUAGGUUUAGUUAGUGUCGUUUGUUAGUUUUAGGAAAUUUUGGUUUUUAAUUAAUUAGGAAAAUCGUAUAUGAUAUUUCGAAUAUUUUCCAACUUUUAGUUAAAUUUAAUUACAGUGGCAUUAUCUUGUAAAUAUUUAGAAAAACUCAGAGUUAAUUCAAAUUUGUACUUUUGUUUUAAUAGAUUAAACUAGAUUUUGACCCGCACGUCCGUGCGGGUGUGAAUUUUUCGUUUAGAUUCAAUAUCUUUGGUAAAAUAUAUUUUAAAUAGGUAUACUUGUUUAAUAUAAUUUUUUUUACGAUAAAUUUAUUCAUUUGUUUCUAUUCAUGAAUUGCAUAAGUCAUUUGUUUAUAUAGUUUCACAGGAUUUUCAUUUUUUCCUCAUUUUUGAUACCAUUAUUCAUGCUUAUAUUUUCUGAAUUUAUUGGCAAAGUGGGUCACUUUCAAGUUUGUAAUUCAGGCUUUGGGUCGCACGAAGUUUUUAUUCGGUAAAUGGGUCGCGUGUAUUUGUGACCCUAUGCAACUUGAAAGCAAAAGACGAAACGAUCCUUUCUCCAGCUGCCGAAUAUCGGAAGUGCCACUCCCCUCCCGAAAAACCCGGGUCAUUUACUUCGUCGUCUUACCUACACUGGGCGGUAAACGACCUUCUGGUAAAUUCUUUUACUGUGAAAGACUGAGAGGACUGUUCGACUUUCGACCAAGAUCCACCUGAAUUCCCUAGCCUGUCGCAGCCGUUGGAGAAUCUUCCCCGGCGAUUAUUAGACCCCAGACGACGCCUGCAGUGAUGACGAAGUCCAAGCAAAGUGAGACAACCGUUCGUCGCCAGACCAGAUCGGCUGGCGAGGAGCUCCCGGAGUGCCCUCCUGCGAAACAGCAGCGCUAUCCGGGUAUGUGUUUCGUCCACCUCCAUUCAUGUGGAUUCCGUCUUUGCAUGUCAUCGGAGAGAUUCUUUAGUAAUGGUUUUAUGUCCUCGCUGUGAAAAGCUAUUGUCUCUUGAUUAGUCGACACCGUUUUGUGUUUGAAGCCAUUUAUUUGAGUUAUCGAUUUUUGUUCGAUUUGUAGAUUCUGGAUCUGAGGACGGCCCCGGUGGUGGUGAUUCCUCAGGGGGACAAUUCUCUGAUGGGGUGCCCUCAUCUGUGUUUCCCUGGAGACUGUUCACAUAUGGUGCGUACCCGACAAAGUUGCGAGUAAACAUCUACUCAAAAUCACACGUCAUCGGUUCUGUUGCUGCUGCUCUAAAGGGGACGGAUGCGAUGGACACUUUGAUGGCUUCCCAGUUUCGGGGGGUGUUUGAGCUUCCCGUUGUACGCUGCCAGAACUCUACGAAGCUCAUCGGCUGCCUCCUCAGCCGACAGCUAGUUACGGCUCGCAGACACGAGUUCUGGUUCACCUUCGGGCCCCAUCCACUCCGUUUCUCGCUGGAUGAAUUCCGAGACGUUACAGGUUUGAACUGCGGAGCUUUCGAUGUUCAGGAUUCGGAAGCAUCUGAAUCUGUUCCUCCGACGAUGUGGAACAAGCUCUUUGAUACGACUGUCGGUAAGAUAACAGUCCUGAGUGUACUGCGCAUGUUGGGAAAUAAAUAUCUAGCUGUGGAGAAACGGCUCCGUUUGGCUCUGAUCGCGUUGGUUGAUGGUGUUCUCUGCCCCAGUAGCAAAGAUCUUAAACUAACGCCCAGGUACGUUGAGAUGCUGUCCGACGUUGAGAGCUUUUUGGCGUAUCCGUGGGGUCGAGAGUCGUUCUUGACGACCGUGCCGCGUUUCCUGCCUCCCCUUGUUGUCGCACCACGUUCGAACCCACUGCAAGUGAUGCGUGAUCGGCUAUCGCAAAAGACAACAGUUUGCUAUGGGUUUCCACUUGCUCUGUAGUUGUUUCUUAUUUGAUGUUGUGCCUCUGUUAUUGGAGAAAAUUCCCGACGCAGGGAACACCGCCACUUUCAUUGAUUCCCCCGGAGCUUGCUCUUCGCCGUCGACUAUUCUCACAGUCAACGAAAUAGUCGCUGUCGAGGAAGACCCAGACGUAAGUUUGUUUUCCCUUUGUUUUAAAUACAGCGGAUGCAAAAAUACAGUGAAGUAAAACGGUUACGGCUUUUGGUGUUAACGUGUCUUCCAUUGCUUUUUGCCUGUCUACAGCUCUCUGUCCACUUCACCGUGAUUCCUGAUGAGGAACGGCUGAUGUUGCUGGACCAGAAUGAAGAUAGGCAACUAACUUCUUUGGUGCAGAAGUUGCUUUGUGGGGAAACAUUCAAACCUGAGGAUUUUCCAGGUGGUGACGAGUCGUUUUCCCCCAAGUUAAAGGUUCCAGACGCUGCGCAGGAGGAGGGAGCUUGUCCUACUCCCGUACACCAGAGAAAUUUGCGACCGCGUAAUGCAGUGCCCAUUGAAGUUGAAGAGAUUUCUUCUUCUGGAAACAGCGGAGAAGGGAAUCAUCAAUGCUCAGAGAGGUGUACGCAUGAAAAUUUAAAACAUUGGAUAUCCCAGCGGUUUGAGGGGAUGGAGAACAAUAUUGAAGAGUUGCGGACAGUGAUUUGCAAGAGUUUGGGUCUGCCCGAGGGGAGCAAACGCAAUGCUAGGAAGAGGAAAGCGAUCGAUGAUCCGCAGGUGUGUCGCACUCCGUCUCCUGAUGAUAGUAUUGUGAGUGAAACCAAGGGGCGAAACAGGAAGGGGAAAAAAAGAAAAACGGUUGGCACUCGGCUUGUUGUGAAAAAACGUUGCCUCGGCGUCGAUCUGGAGGUGGAAAGGAGGUGACAAAGGUUGUACGCCGAAGUUAUUUUUUCACAUAAUAUACAAAUUCGUGGUCAUUUACUGUCCUGACACCUUUGCCGUUUUCCAGGAAGUGAGAAGAAACAACCCACCCUCAUCAGAGAGAGAUAGUGGUCACCAGAAUGAUGAUGAUCAUGCAAACGAAAACGAGUCUGACAAUGCUCGUUUUCCACCAUCCGGCGGAAACAAAGGCGAUCAGGUAAUGUGAUAGAUAGUUUUAUUGUUGUGUUAUUGCUUAGACUUCUAACCCAACGCUGGGGGGAUGGUCAGCAGCAAGAAACACAAUCGAAUGCCCUCGUCCUGUUUGGAGAUGUAUUAGAUGUUGAGCCUGAGUCCUAUGUGUUACCAGCAGAGGUUUGUUUGCAUCUUAAUUAGUUGUGUAGUGUUUGGCUAAGUAGUGGUAAUAACAAUAGUUGUGAAUAUUUGCGGAUUCCUACUACCUUCCAGCAUGCGGUAACCUCCCCGGGGGCAUGGCAGAAAAGAAACCCAACGUACCGGUAUGAGCAAGGCUCCCCAGUCGCAUGGGAGAAAACAAAGUCGAACUGUUACAGUUCGGUUGGUAGUGUACGCUCCUUUCAUCCUUCAUGGGAUGGAAACCCCUCCUCGAAAUCUAAGGUUGCAUCCACCGGAAUUGAAACGUAUCCGCUACGGAUUAUAUCAUAGACAGUAGUUAUAUCUGUCACAUUAAGUUUGGUCUGUUAAUGUUGUACAUUACUUGAAGUGCGUUAUUAACGGAUUUGAUGCAGGAAAGAAGUGCUCCAAAAGGUGGGGAGGGCCUUCAAAAAUGGGGAGGUGCUCCACCGGUGGGCUAUGAGUCCGGUCAAACAUCAAAUCAGAAUGAUGGAGAGAGGCUUGAACAAGUCUCUGGUCCUAUGGGGUUUGUUGAGGCACUUGUGAAGGAGAUCAACUCUGAAAUCCUAGGGACCGACGAGGUAGUUAUAUCUUAGGAAAUGGUUUAGGUCUGUUGUUGUUCGACAAUUCUCAGAGAGCGUAAUUAACUGAUUUGAAAUUUCAAGAAAUAAGGGCACCGAGGGGUGGGGAGGGUGCACAGCCAAAAGAAAACGAGUCGGUGGCUGCCCGCAUGACACCACUGGCCGGGAUUGACUUUGCGCAGGUGAUGUGCAUUUUAUUAUUGGUGUACACAUCCACAUUUUAUUUUUGGUGUACACAUGUUGACAUAGGUUACUGACUCCAUCUAGAAAACGGGUGCCGACAACGGUGGUGAGUUCGUUGAGGAGGAUCCUGACGGUGGUGAAGAAGCGAGGACGGCAGACAAACAGUCUCAAUCUGUUGACUUCGUUGAAACAUCAAAUAUGGAGUUUCCAAAGCCUGUGGAGGUGGUUGGAAAAAUUGCUCCUCCCAAGGCGGGUGUUGAGGCAAGUGUUAAGGAGAUCAACGCUGAAUUACAGGGGACGGAGGACGAAGAGAGAUAUGACAGUUGUAAAGACGACAUGUCCACUGAUAGCCAGAUACAAGAGAACCGACGUGAUCUGUGUGCUGAAACGGAUGCGGACUCUGAAGAUGUGGGCAGUGGUGGUAAACGGUAUCGCAUGAGAUCCAGCAAGAUUUCUGGAGUGUACACCCCUGACCCAAGGGUGAAAAAGUUGUUUAAGAGCGAGGAGAAGGUUGAGUAUAAGCCCAUUGCCAAAACGAAUCGAGCACAGUUUAAGAAGUUUGCCAAAAUUUUGAGGGAAAACCCUGCGCAGUAAGUUUCUAACUCUUUUUAAGGUUAUAUACAUAAACUCGUGCAUAAGUUCAUGAUUGUUGGUUAAAUUUGCAGGAUGUGGGAUAUCGCUACCGGUCACUCUGUGUGUAAUCGCUUCUUCCUUGAAAUUGCUGAACCGGGGAAAUGGAUGUCUGACGAGGUCUAUUAAGCUCUGCAUCAUCGUCACAUUAUACCUUUGACAGUCACCUUAUGUAACUAAUAUUUGUUACAUAUUUUUUUGGGACAGCACAUGCAUGUGAUAAUGAAUAUGUUGUGGAGGCGUCGCGGGAUUUAUCUACAGAAGGAGAGGAUGGUGAUCUUGGAUCAGUACUUUAUAAAAACCAUUCAGUCAAACUGGAGUGCCUUUAGCACAGACAAUGAUAAGCUACAGUUCGAAUGGGGGAAAAACGUAGCACAGUAUGUGACAGGAAAGAGCAAGGGGCAGAAAAUGAAGUUGGGACUUGGCUGCGAUGUCGACACCGUGUACACCCCGAUGAAUUGGGGUGGAGAUCACUGGGUUGGUCUCGGCAUUAAGCUGAAUGAAGGUCAUGUGACGGUAUUUGAUUCCUAUGUUCCUCAUACUGAGAUCGAGGUUGCGGAAGGACAUAUGUGUUUGGUUGUACAGUCGUUGCCUUAUAUAUUAGAAAAAUAUGCAGGGCAUAAAUGUUAUAAGGUGAAGGAAGGUCUUCGAAUUUACUCUUGGAGCCGCGCAGAAGGUAUUUAUCACAACAAAAGGGGUGGCGACUGUGGGCCAUGUGCUGCCAAGUUCAUAGAGAUGCAUGUUGCCGGCUUAACGGAGGAAAUGAGUCGGAUUACCGAAAAAGAAGUUGACAGAUUUCGAGAGCAGUAUGCAAUGGACUGCUAUAAAGAAUUCGUGGGCGUUGCUAAAGUAAACAAUGAGUAAACUUGAAGUUGUUUUCUUUGUCAGAAUGUUGUUCGAACCCAAUGAUACUUAUGUUUGUGUGAACCGAAUGGAACUUAAUGGUAUAUUUAUGGUGUGUUUGUGUGAUUAUGCGUUUAUGAUCCUCGAGAAACAAAAAGUUUGACGGUAUUGACUUUGCUAUUUGUAGAUAUGUACACCUGAGUUAAAAUGCUGCACACCAACUACAUGUAUUGACUUUGAUAGACCUUGUAACCUCGUACACCGUUGUUGUAAUGUUGUUGUAACUACGUGAAACGUUUUGCUUGGUUUUUAAACCUCGUACACCGUUGUUGUAAUGUUGCACACCAAGUCAUAGCUGUUCAUGGUAAUGGUUUAUGUAUAGACUGUAUAGACCAGUAUUAGAUUUUGUCUUCUUACUUUCGAAGGUAUACAUCAUUGAACAAAAUGAUUGCGAAUGUUAUUGUGUUAUAAUUAGAAUUUUUCGUGAUGUUUGUUUGUAUUAUAAAAAGUCACAUCAUUGAACAAUAUGAACUACAUGUAUUGUCGGUGGUAGACCUUGUAACGUUUUGUGUACAAUAUAAAGUGAAACGUUUUGUUUGGACUUUAAACAUCGUACACCAUUGUCGUAAUGAUGCACACCAAGUCUUACAUUUCACACCAACCAUAUGUAUUGAAUUUCUUAGACCUUGUAACGUUUUUUGUAUUAUAUUAUGUAAAACGCAUUGUUUGGUUUUUAAAUCUUGUACACCGUUAUUGUAAUAUUGUACACCGAGUCUUAUCUUUUCAUGAUAAUUGUAUAAGUAAAGAAAUGAUAGACCGAUGUUGGAGUUUGUCUCCUUAGCUUUGAAGGUAUACGUCACUUUCCAAAAUGACAGCGAAUGUUAUUCUCGACAACGGAAUUAGAGCAAUGCUUAAUGUGCUAAUGCAUUACAACAAAUAAUAAUUACUGUCAAGUGUCGAAGGCCGGAAAACUCGUGGUGCAACGAAAAUCCCAGAGGAAAAGACCAACCUCUUUGAUCCAAAAGCAUCGGUUACACAUGUCUUCAGUCUUGCUUAACUCCAUCUGCCAGAGAUCCCAAUCGAAAUCCAACGUAGGUGCACAGGGGCAAUUAUAAAAAAGGGUCGAUCUGUUGACAUGAACACAAACUUCUUUGUUAAGAACCUCUCGUUAACGACCGGCACCCACGGAACAUCAUCCAUUCUAACAAGCCAUCCAAUUGUACCAACUGCUUCUCUCGUAAAACUAGCGAAGCAUUCCUCAUCCUCCCAGUAGAGUUUGCGAGUCAUUGCAUAGGUAUACAACGCUCGUUCGUAUCCAGCAUCCGCUGCUCUCUUUAUCAAAGCAAGACCUUCCUCGUGGCGUUGUAGGGCAUAGAAAUACUCAACACCCUUGAUGUAAAGAGUACUUGGGUUUCCGACAUCGUAGCAUCUUCUCAACAACGUAUCACGCAAGCCUGUCCACCAAGGGUAUUUAUACAUAUCAAACGAAGAAUAGACGUCAGGUGUGUCUGCCAGCGCACGCAUUGACUUACAAGUAGAUCUGAGUCUAUACAGAUCUUGAAAGGAAUUUUUUGCGACGCAGGAGACAAUCAAUUGUUGGAUUUCUGAAGAGAGAUCUAGAAAAGUGGUCUCUGCCAUUAUAGCCAGAUUGUGUUUUCAGCGUUGUGCAAAUGAUGUCCAAAAUUCAGUAAUUAUAGUGAGUGGACGGAGGCAAACGAAGGGUUGUCUAUUUACGACGGUCACGCCCGUAUAAGUCAUUAUAGCUUGGAGACGCAUUGACCCUAUACCGAGACAAACGAAAUAAUGGAUUUUUUAAUUGUUUACAAGUACAUUAUGGCCGCUUUAAAACAUGAUUUGACAGUGUUAGGUUUCAAAUGUGGGUGGGACAAUAAAUUCUCGUAUUAACCUCACACGUUUUCUUUACAAACCUGUCUAUUAAAUUUCUAUAAUCCCUCUCAUACCUACCAUAAAACAGACCACAAAAAAACUCCAACAAGUGACCCCAAUAGUAUGGAAGCUCACGUACUCCCAAAUCUUCUCCACGAAAUUGUGUGCAAAAUCAUUGAGCUUGUCGGAGAGGAAUCAUUUUACAAUCUUGGCCCUUUUCUGCGAGCUGGAAAACGCGGUUACGCCCUCGCACACGAGCUCUCAGUCUUGAAGAAGUGCGAUGUUAGUGAAAUGGAGGACAGGUUCGUCACACGUCAAAUACGCCAAGGUUGUCAGUUCCGGGAGUUUCAUCUCAAGUGUGUCAGUGCUGGCAACAGAAAGGCAAUCUACUAUGAAGGUCUCCUUACAGCACCGAACAUAGGACUUGAGGAGAGUAUUAAAAUAUUGGAACCAAAUGUCCCAAUGCAUGGAUUCUCAACCCUAGUUGUCGCCAUAUUCAAUGUUUGUCUUGGCAACGACAAGGAAGCGAGCAAAGUGUUUCAGCUAUUCGCAGCAUAUCACCAUGACCUUCGAUCGGAUGAAACUUCUGAAACGGGAGAAUCCAUAGAGAACCAAUUGAAAGCCUUUGGAGCGGAAGACCUGAACUGCAACAAAUAUGGGGAAUCUUUCAAGUUCCCGGAUGAUGGCUUAAUCAAGACACCCAGGUGCGUGUAUGGCCAUGAUUAGGCAGACAACUUAAAAGGUGUUUGCAAAAACUGCAGGCUAUUUUGGAUUUGCGUCAACAUUUCAAAUAUCAUUUAAAUAUUAUUGACAGGGAAAUCUCUCUGGUUUUCUCCUAUGUCAUUUAUGUUUUAACAUUUGCCAUUUCCUCCCAAAUGUAGUUCCUCGAUCCCAAUACUACAUUUAAUUUCUGUUGGAACAAUACCUUUGCAAAUUUAAAUAACUAAUUCAUAGGUUAUAACACAUUAGUUGUCUUCGUAACCAACAUUACAAAACUGCAACACGUUUACAGCAGAUGUUGAGAUACUAAAAUACAAGCUUGCAGGACAAAUUAAACAUCUCUUCACAUAUUUAGAAACCCGUUAAUGAUGUCUUCUUCUAUUUCUGCAUUUUUGCCCAAAUCACUCUGGAGGUGCGAGAUGGUCUUCUUCAAUUCCAUGAUAGUCCGCUUUUUUCUGAAAUUUCGUCUCUAGCUUCAAUCAGAGCUUCCUUUUGCCAUCCGAAAGGUUCUUCCUCAUCGAUCCAUUGGAAAAACCCACAAUCAAGUGGACUCUACAAGAUAAACGAAAUGAAAACCCUUUCCAUAAAUAACAACACAAUACUACUAUUCUACCUUCCAGCGUUCACACCCGUAGAACCUCCGACCAGGAUUUUUGUCUGUCUAAGAUUUACAUUUCUUCGCCGGCAACGCACAGAAACAACGCACAUCGGUUUCAUUACCCUUUCCCUUUCCCUUUCCCUUAUAGCUCGAUCUGCCACCAAAUUCCAUAUCUCUUCCCAGUUGGAGAAAAUUAAUGAACACCAAAAAAGGACUGAAAUCGAAUUGGAGAAAAUAAUUUUGGGAAGAAAUGUAAAUGGGUCGGGUUUAGGGUUUUGAAUGGGCCGGAUUUUUGGGCAACCCUGACCGAUAUUUCAAUUUACUUUAAUUUGAAUUUUGAAAUAAAGUGCACAGUGACGAGCACUUUAUCCAACUUCGACCUAAUAACAUCUCCCUUUCUCCUUUCUCCAACUUCGACCUAAUAACAUCUCUCUUUCUCCUUUACCAGCAAAAUUCCCUCGAUGUCGACUUCCAACAGCUCGGAUGGUGCCUCGUAUGUGGACAUGCUUUACGCUGUGAACGACUCCAACUUUGGAAUCCCGUAUCGUUGUCCUUGCGGAAGCGCAAUUAUCAUUCAGAUCUCUACAGAAGCGGCAGCCAUUCCGAAGAAAUAUUUUGUAUGCAAAGAUUUCAAGGUGAGUUGUAAUUUUUUAUGUAAUUGUUGGAUUUGCUUCCAAAGAUUUAAAGGUAAAAUCAUAUUUCCAGAAUGACGGGUUGCACAGAAAGCAAGAAUGGACCGCCGCAAUCGAAGACGAAACCCGACGUUUGAAGAAAACAGUUGACGAUCACGAAUCCAGGAUACGUAGCUUAGGUCGUGUUGAAUAUCGGAUCGAUCGAAUUGACCAAAAUGCCCAAAAAACGACGGUGAGAUUGCACACCUUGGUUAUCAGAUCCACGAGAUGGAGAAAGUCUUGAAGAAAAAUGCUGAGGAGAUUGCAUUAUUUAAGAAAAUUAUUGAGAAACUUGAAUAUAAUAUCUUGUUGCAUUUAUUUUGUAUUAUCUAUUCCGACAGACAUAUGGUGUGCAACUUUUAUAUAUGGUGUGCAAGUUUUUUAUUGGGGAAGACGACGUAUUUCCCCACCAUAACUAUCACAUAGUAAUAAAUGUACACAAUCUUUCAUCCUCAUCCCAAUUGCCCACUUUAUAAGCAUAACAACCUAUUUCCACACAAUAUGAAAGUUCGAAACUCGUUUCCACACAAACUUUGAAAAACGGACUAAUACCGACAAAUAGCGGUUUAAAAUUGGUUAGUGUUCCCUAAACCUAAACUUAAACCAAUGGCUAACUUAAGUAAACCCAAAACGACCCGAUUACGACCCGAUUAGAGAUCUAAACCAGAUUAAAUCAACCUAAUACCAAUUGGAUCUAAUAAACCCACCCAUGACCCGAAAACGUAAAUCUUUUGUUUCUCUCUGGCGAAGAACGUCGCUGCUCUUUCUCAUCCACCUCGUUGCUCCUCUGAUUGUUCUCUCUGAGGUAAUUUCGAGAAUUCUAUCUCUAAAUCUCUCGCUCUCUCUCGCUCUCGCUCUAUCUCUCUCUCGUUAUUGUAUUGUCUCUUUGUCUAUGUCUCUUUCUGAUACUGACAAUGUGUUUCUCUGUUUUGCAGGAAUCGAGAAUGGAAUCAUGGACUAACGUGAAUGUUGAGUGGAAUGAUGUACCUGAUUUCGACCCAGGGACUACCGAUUCUCCUGAUGUUGAUUCUUAUUCUCCUGAUGUUGACUCUGAUGGUGAAGAUCGCAGAGAGCGCAACGACUACAACAUUGAGAAAGAAGCUUUCAACUUUGUUGAUGAACCUCAAGUGAAGCAUAACUUGUAUCCAGAGACAGAAGAUGAUGAAGAUGAAGAGGGGGAAGAACUUCAAAGGACUAUCUACAGGCGGCGCAAUGAUAUUAGGAGAGGCAGUGGGGAGUUGUAUGUAGGGCAAGUGUUCAUCAGUGGAAUUGCAUUUAAGGAAGCAGUGCUCGACUAUGCUCUGAAAACGGGUCUGAACAUCAAGCAAAAUAGAUAUGACAAGACAAAGAUUGCCUUUGUAUGUGAAGGCAAAGGUUGCUCUUGGCGCAUAUACUGCUCAUCCUCAGUAAAGUAUCCCAACAAAUGGCAGGUGAAGAUAUUGAAGAAGGAUCAUACCUGUGUUCCUACGGGUACUUGUGAGAUGCUCAAAGUUCCACAAAUAGCUCGCUUGUUUGUUGACAAGAUCAGAGAAGAGCCAGAGUAUUUCAUGCCCAUGAAGAUUGAGGAGCUGGUUAUGGAGAAGUGGAAGCUCAGUGUUAGUAGGCCGCAAUGCCAACAUGCUAGGAACAAAGCGCUCAGAUGGAUUGAAAGAGAGUAUGAUGAGCAGUUUGGACGGUUGAGGGAUUACUGCGCUGAGAUAAGAAGCUCGAAUGUUAAUUCUUCUGUUGAGCUUGACUGCCUGAGAAAUGAUGAUGGGAUCAAAGUUUUCAACAGAUUUUAUGUCUGUUUUGACAUUCUGAGGAGGAACUGGAAAGAAACGUGCAGGCCACUAAUUGGAGUAGAUGGUUGUUUCUUGAAGUCUAGGAUGAAAGGACAGCUUCUAGUGGCUUUGGGUCGUGAUGCUGAUAAUGCCAUUUACCCUAUCGCAUGGGCUGUGGUGCAAGUAGAAAACACCAACAAUUGGUUGUGGUUUGUGAGAAAGAUCAAGGUUGAUCUAGGACUUGAUGAAGGAGAGGGUUAUGUUAUGGUUUCAGAUCGUCAAAAGGGAUUGAUUGCAGCUGUGAAGAGAGCACUACCGCGAAUUGAGCAUAGGAUGUGUGUUAGACACAUCUAUGGCAACUUGAAAAAACGCCAUGGGAAGAAACCUGAAAUGAAGCUAAAGCUUUGGAACCUUGCUUGGAGCUACAAUGAUGCUGAUUACAAAGCAAAUCUCAAAGACAUUGAGCGGUAUGAUCAAGAUGUUUAUGACGACGUGAUGAAGGCAAAGCCAAAGAAGUGGUGUAGGGCAUUUUACAAGCUUGGACCUUUUUGUGAAGACGUGGAGAAUAACUCAACUAAAUCUUUCAACAACUCCAUUGGUAAAGCCCGAGACAAGCCCUUUGUACCUAUGUUAGAGACAAUAGCUCGCUUGGCGAUGGUUCUUAUAGCGAGAAGAGAUGUAAUCUGCAGCAGCCACGAAGGGAUUUGCACACCGUAUGUCAUUGAGAUGCUUGAGAGUUUGCAUGAGAAAGCCUCGAAAUGCACGAUUCAACCUUCCACCAACCAGACAUAUGAAUCUACUAGUAGUGGCUGUGCGCAUAGGGUGAGCUUGGAAAAUAGAACAUGUAGCUGCAGAAGAUGGGAGAUUACAGGGAUCCCUUGUGAGCAUGCCUAUGGAGUUAUGCUGAAGAAAGGUUUAGAGGCUCAAGAAUUUGUGGUUCACUGGUUUAGGACGGCUACGUGGAGGUGUACGUAUGCUGAAGGGAUUGUACCUUUGCGUGGAGAAAGUUCUGGCCCGUAGGACCGGAACCAUCUAUAAUUGAACCUGAGAUCCCAGAUCAACCAGGCCGUAAGAAGGUGACUAAAGCAGAUAAAAAGAGAAAGAAGGGAGUCAAUGAAUCACCAUCGAAGAAAAAAGAGAAGUUCUUGAAGCGGAUCAUGCACUGUGGGAUAUGUGGUGUUGCUAAUCAUAACUCCAGAUUCCAUAAGAAGAACCCAAAAAAGGUAUGCUUUACUGUGUUUUCGGUUUUGAUGUGUUGUGUUUUGGAUUGAGUGAAGAUUGUUGUGUUUAUUGUGAUAUUUUUUCAGCCUUUUGUGAGUGGUGAAUCAUCUCAGCCUGAAGCCUCACAAGGUGUUUUCACUCAAGCCACUCAGCCUUAGAAGUGAAGAAGAGAAGAUGGAUGUCAAGAAGAGAAGAUGGAUGUGAAGAUGUGGUCGAAUUUUCAAUUGUUUAAUGGUCUUUUUUGAGGUUCUAGGACCUUGUUUCUCGGCUUUGAUUCCUUUUGCACGUUUUAGGACCUUGAAUCUCGGGUUUUUGGACUAGUUUAAUGGCUUGUGACUCUAUUUUGGUGUGUUCUAUGUAUGCUUUAGACUCAAUGUAAAAUAUUUUAAUGGCUUAUGACUCUAUUUUGGUGUGUUCUAUGUAUGCUUUAGACUUUGAUUCUCUCUUUUUAAAACAACUGAAACUUUUUAAAAUAACAUACUUGGAAUCAUCAUCCUAAACAGAACAAACACUUAACAAUACAACCAUCAUCGACUUAAAGACUUAAACAUAAACAAACUGAGACAAACAUCGGUUUUGAAUCAACUGCGACAAGCUAUAUAAUCUUAGACAACACAACCAUGGUCAAACAUCCUAAAACAACAAGCACAAGCGCUUUCUUCACCUCGCAUUUAGCUUCACUCACAACAUCUUCCAUUCUUGCACAAAUCUCAGUCUCUAUCUUCAAUUCAAGCUCUUCAAACUUCUUCUUCUCUUCUUCACCACGCUCAGCAAGAUUUGUUUGUUCAAGUUUCCCUAUCCUAAAUGACAAUGCUUCAACCUCAUCCAACAAUGCCUCAUCAACCCAUUUAUAAGUGUGAUUAUCAUUACUCAGCUACAAAACACACAAAAAUUCGAUUUUGACUUCAAACACACAAAAACUCAAUCACAUUUAUAGCAAGAAACUAACCCUUUUCUCUGCUGCAAAAGCACACCGGAAGUAUCUUCUGUAAGGAUUUGCGGUCGACUUUGACAUCAAAGAGACAACCAAUUCUCCACACCAACAUCUCUUCGGCACACCAACAAUGCGACCUCUUGCUCGCGCGCUACUGGCUCCACUCGAAUUUCCAGAUUCAUUGCUCAUACUUUCUGGGUUUUUAUUCGUUUAAUCUCUUCUCUGUUUUUUAUUUUAUUUUUAGGGUUCUAAGGGAAUGAAAUCGAUUUUGGGGGUUUUAAAAGGGUUUCGGGUCGAUCCUAAGUCGGAUCUAUUUUUGAGUUGGAUCGUACCAGUUUCAACCGAUACGAACUGGUUUACUACCGGUUAAAGUCGAAAACCAUUAAAACCAAUUCAAAUCUUCGUCUGUGUGGAAACGAGUUUCGAACUUCCAUAUUGUGUGGAAAUAGGUUGUUAUACUUAUAAAGUGGGCAAUUGGGAUGAGGAUUAAAGAUUGUGUACAUUUAUUACUAUGUGAUAGUUAUGGUGGGGAAAUACGUCGUCUUCCCUUUUUAUUGACGUAAUAGUAACCAACGUUUCAAUUGACAUAAUAGUAUCCUACGUUUCAAUUGACAUAAUAGUAUUCUCUUCGAAAGAUUAGAAAUAUUAGUUGGUGUGCAACAAUUUAAACACAAUGUACGUAGGAUAAAGUAGUGUGCACGAAGAUUACCACCAUCCAACAAGUCUUAACGCCACGUUUCAAAGUUUGGAUGACCGGUGGAUGCCUUGAAGUCGCUUAGAAGAAGACCAACCUCUUUUAUCCAGAAGCACCGGUUACACAUGUCUUCAGCCUUCCUAUUGUCGAUGUCCCAUAAUGCCCAAUGUCCGUCCAAUAGAGGAGAACAAGGACAGCUGAAAAAUAUCGGUGCGACUGUUGAUAUAAAGACGUGCCUCCUUAUGUGGAAGUAGUCGUUAUGGUCCCAAUUCCACAAUCCAGCCGAGGAUCUUACCAGCAGUCCGAUCUUAGCGACGUAGUCUCUUGAAAAUCCCCUGAAGUGGUCGCCAUCAUCAUCCCAUAAUUUGCUUGUCAUGGCGUAGGUAUACGAGGCUCGCUCAAAUCUAGCAUCCGCUGCUCUCUUCAUCAAAUCAAGACCCUCAACAUACAUAUUUCGCCUGUAAAAAUACUCAACGCCCUUGAUGUAAAGUGUACUUGGGUUUCCCUGGGCAUAGCAUCUUCUCAAUAGGUAACGGAGCCUAAACCCGCGGAGCCUCCACGGAUAUUUAAACAAAUCGAACGAAGCAUAAACGUCUUUAUCGUCUGUCAAUGAACGCAUAGCCUUGCAAGUAGCGCGGAGUCUGAAAAGAUCUUCGAAGGAGUUAUGUGCCACGCGUUUAACGACUAACUCCGGGACCUCUGUCAGGAGGCUGAGUAUAGGGAAUUGUUCCAUUUUUAGGAGAUUUCUGCUUAUACGUUACGACUAGAAUGUGUCACCGCUUCCAAAAAUCGAAUAGGGUCAACCCUAUUUAUAAUCGAGGUUUACAUAACAAACAGAGAUGAAAUGAUGUGACUAGCGAAGGAGUAUCAUAGGGACGAAACGAAAUGAUGCAAGAUAAAAAUACUUAACCGUUUAACGGGUAUGAGGACAAUUAACUGUUUAACGGGUAUGACAAUUGUUUACACCAACUUUCAUUCUUCAAUACCAGUUACAUUGGGCCGAAUGAUGCGUCGGUCUUACCACCGAAAGAGUACAAAUACAUUAUUGUGGACUAAAACUGUGUUUCCGAUUGACUUUUGUAUUAAAGUCUAUCCAUGUAUACAACAUACUUUAAAUAGUUAAACGUGUACAACUUAUUCUAAACGGUGUACAAUUCAUUGUGUAACUAAAUUGCAGACACUAUUUAUUUGUGUUUAUAUAUUAUAUUUAUUUCAGUAUAUGGUUAAUUUAGAUAGAGGUACGUUAUGUAAGGAUAUAAGCGGCAGGUGUACGGGUUUAUGAUUGAAAUCUAUGCAGGUAUACCCAUCUCGGUAAUAUGAUUAAUUAUGAUUGCUUUUAAAAUCUAUAGUUAAUUAUGAUUGCUUUUAAAAUCUAUGCAGGUAUACCCAUCUCGGUAAUAUAUAAUACAUAAAUUUAGUUAAUAUUAUCAAAGGUGUACAUUUUGUUGUUGUUAAAGUGUAGAACAUAUUGUAGUACACAUAUAAAUCUAAUACAUAAAUUAAGUUGAUAUAAAUCUAUUGCCAUAUUUCUGAUCAUUUGGAUUCUCGACUUGACUCGGACUCGCUCCGGUGAUGUUCCUCAAGGUACUCCUUAUAGUCUUCAAGAUCAACCUUACUAUCGGAUUCAUCAUCGCUCCCUCCGACUCCCUGCGGAACAGACCCGUCUCUGUCGUAAAAAGCAUCAUUGUCAUCCGCCUGGCCGGGAUCGUCUUCCCUUCGUUCGUUUGGUCGUUGGUGGAUAAAGAUCAACCGUUAGUAUUUCGGCUGGCACUUCAACAUCCUUUGGAUCCGGAACCGGAAGUAUGAUACCCCUAACUGUUUUAGCCCAUGUCUCUUUGAGAUGGUGUUUGCAAACAAACAUGCUGUACUGCAUAUUACGGUAAGAAGCAGCAGCAAUGGCAUGUCGGCAUGGCAAACCAAGCUUUUGGAAUUCGAGGCAAGUGCAAGUUCGUUUAUCCUGAUCAACCGUGAAACCAAAAUUAGUUGGCAUGUGCGUAACUUCGAAUAACCAAGUCGAACAUGGCAUAACUAGAAGGCCCGUUGACAGCACCAGCUGUUCGACCAGUAUCUUUUGAAUAUUAUCUGGAACAUUUCCCUUCAUCUUACUGAUCUCGCUGCGUCUGCUCACAGACCAUGUACACAGCUUCCGGCGAAUAAACUCGAACAAUGCCAUUAUAAGACUAUCAUGAGCGGGCAGAAGAGCAUUAUUCAACGAUUCAGCAGCGUUAGAAGUCAUCACGUUAAAUCUCUCCCCUUCGAAAUGUGAACGUGUCCAUAGCUUCUUGUCGAUCUUCUCCAAAUAAUCCCAGCAUCUCCAAUCCGUCAGUUUAAUAAGCUCCAUUAUCUCCUUACACUCCGAAACUCUGAACGCUUCCCCAGCUCUGCCAACCAUUGCUUUCUGUUGCAGCCCCUUAUACUUAUCCUGAACGUUACGAUGGAGGUGUACGAGACAAAUACCAUGGUGUGCACGUGGGUACCGUUUAUCUUUCGCUGCGAAAAUUGCUGCGCAUCUAUCUCAUAUUAUACCUAAAUCAGAACCAUCCUCUACAAUAGUAGAUAACCUCUCGAAAAACCAUGUUCAAGAUUCUGUGUUCUCGCUUUCCACUACUGCGAAAGCAAUCGGGAAUACGCGGCUGUUAGCAUCUUGUCUGCUGGCACUUAUCAAAACACCUUUUUACUUUCCAAACAUGUGGGUGCCGUCCACCACUAGCACCUUCCUUAGGUACUUCCAUCCAUCGAUGCAUGCUUUCAGGGACAUGAACGCAUACUUAAACCUUGUUUUCCUUCUUUGUCUUUUUCGGUUUUAAUAUCUGUGAUUGUUCCAAGAUUUGCUAGCUUGAGUACAUGGAAGUACUGUGGUAGCAUCUUGUUGAAUCCUCCUCUGUUCCUUGCGCAGAUGCAAUCGCUAGUUCUUUCGCUUUCCAAGCUUUCCAGUUUGAGCAUGUAUAGUUGAAUUCCGUUCGCAACAUUUCCGGAAGUUCCAUAGAACGCGGCCCAGAGUAAAGCCUCUCGUAUUUCGAACGCAAUAGAGCUGCAAGCACUUUGGCUGUACCAUGUUUUUUAUACUUCCCUCUAACGUCGGCUACACAUACAUGAUUCAGAAUUGCCUUUUUAACCAGAUAAGUUGGAGAAUCACCGAGUUGAACAGCCACUACUCUCCAGUUGCAUUCUUUUUCGUAGCAUUUCGCCGUGAGUCGGCGUUUGCAAUGCCUGAGCUUAAACGUGCACACCUUCGCAAUUGCGUAGAUAGCCAACGUCAACUUGCACUCCGCUUUGUUUUUGAACGUCCUUCCCACGUAUAUGUCAGAGUCCUCCUUGCUGAAGUCAAUGUCAAGAGGGUUGCAGCUGCUUCCAUCCAUUUCAUUAUACACACCAUCUACAUCAUUAUAUCCAUACAUUUCUGGUACUUGUAUGCCUUUCAUGAAUGCUUCUCCACCCUGAACUUGUCUAGUUGCGGUGACAGGAGGAUCAACAUCGUUCUUAUCUUCGAGCUCACGGUUGUGCGUGUUAUAUUGUUUUGGGGGAGUUUCGAGACAUAUGUCACCACUUUCAACGGCCUCUGUUGCUUGAUUGGGCGCACAACCAACGUCUGUAGGAGUACCACUCACAUUAUCUCCGACUUUCGUCAAUACUUCUUCACCUUGAAAUGCGGCCGGCUGGGGAAUAGGAGUGUCAACAACAGCAUCAUCAUCAUUAUCUUCAGUCACCCGGGUGUGUUUGUUUUUAGAUUGAGAGGGCGUCACAAGAACAACAUCAACACCUACCUCGGUCUCUAUUACUUCUGUGUCCAAUCUGGAGGGUGAUCCAAGAUCUCUUGCUAGAUCGGUGAUUUCCACAGAAGAAUCGUUAUUUUUGGAUAUAUAUCCACCUCCACGUGAUCGUUGCUUCUUACCACACGCCGAUUUUGCAGCCCCUGUGCCACCAAUACCGCCAGGAGGCCUAAUACCCUUACCACCAGACUGUCCACCACUUCUUCCUUUGCCUGGACCUUCUACAAAAUCGUCGUCGUCGUCCGUCACGCAAUCGUGUCUACAAUAAUCAUGCCAGCCAUUGUAGUCGUAAUCGCUAUCAUCGCCUUCAUCUUCUGCAGCAACAUCUUCGUGAGCUCCUCCAUUAUUUCCAUUCUCCACUGAAACCUGUUCAACACUUAGCGUUCUCGUAUCUUCUAUGAGACAGAUUUGUUGAGGCAGAUUAUCUGACGCUGUUUUUACUGCGUCUUCUUCUUCGACUUUGCCUUCCUUAUUCUCUCUUUUAUCCACUGCCAAGUCAUCUCCACAAACAUUCCCCUUUUCUUGCUCGCAAUUCUCUGAAUUAGCCCCACUGCCGUCGUCAAGAGUUUCUCCGCUUUUGUCUUGGUCCUUUGACGUCGCAACCAUGCCACCAGACUGAGAGUUGCGUUUGUAGCGUUCUUCGAUUUGCUUAACUUCCAUAAAAAAAGCAACAUCUUCAUCAGGAGGUCGAACGGGUGCAUUCAUUUGGACCCGUAUUACUCGUUCCGACCUUAGAAAUAUCAUUUCUCCUCCAACACUUUCUCUUAAUGUUAUGAAGAGAUUGACGGAUUUGUCUGCCCGGUGAAGCGCCUUGAAAAUCCUGAAAUCUUUGUCCGUUGCUAUCUCGACGGGAGAAGCCACUAGGCCCACCAUUUCACUCUCUCCAUCAUUUAGCCAAUACGACAUCUCGGCUGACACUUCCCUUCCCAAAAGCCCAUACGCAGCUAGAAUACACGUUUUUAACUCCUCAGCACCUCUAAUUCUGGACGAAUCGAAUGCUCUACCCAUUCUAUCAUUGUCUAUCUUGAAAUCCCAAGCUCCAUUGUCAAACAUUAUCCACCUCCCAGCCAUAACCACAAUGCAAGAAUUACACAGACCUACGGUCCAAGCAUGAGCAGCCGUUAGGGUCAUUUGCCAAAUAGAGGAAGCACACAAUUGUAAAAACAAAUACAGAAACUUAGAGCUCAAACUCUGUACCUUCGCCGGUGUUGGUCCUGAUUUCCUUACUGCCUGUGCCACCACUACUUGACCCGACGUUCUGACCACCGCUAAUUGUUUCCAUCCUUUUCAGUUACGGUGGAUUAGCAUCGACGGCCUCAGAGGAUGGGAAUAUCUUCUUAUCGUAGGGUUGCUUCUUUUAGUUGUACACCAGUUCUUAGCUUCUUCUCACCGUUACCCAGUUAGCGUUUUAUAACAUGUUAGUAUAAUUAAUAUUACCACAAAUAUCAGAAAACAGUAAACGGCGGGAAAAGGAAAGGUUAAUAUUACCUUUAACCUUUGUUACCGGUCAGUCAAAAAAAUAAAAAGAAAAUAAAAUCUCGACCUCACACGUGCGAAAACUUCUGGGCCGCUUGGAUCGCUAAGUCUUAGGAUCGUUUGGUGUGGGUCACUUUCAAAAGUUUCAUGGGUCACGGCCCAUAACAUGACGGGUCAUAAGGCCAAAUUCGUCACCGAUUUAUUUCUCUCCCCCCUAUUGGCCCGUUUCGACAAUAAAAACUUGCAGCGACCCACUUGGCCAAUUAAAAACUUGAAGUGACCCUAUGUUACAAGCAACUCUAUCUUUUCUAGAAAGACAUUGUCACAAAUACAUUCGUUAAAAAACAAAAGACUCUUCUAUAUUUAUUUUAUAAAUUUAUUAAUACAAAUAAUUAUUUAAAUAAAAUAAUUAUAUAGUUAUAAAAUUAUAUAUAUGCUUUCAAAUUCGAAUUUUCUUAUAAAAAUUCAAAAUUAUUUUUUUCUAGUUUAUUUUGAAAACUUUUAAAACUUUUUAUUAAUAAUUUUAAUUAUUUAUUUAUUUAUUAAAAUCAUAAACCUCACAAUCUAAAGCUUCACCUCUCAAAUCUAAAUAAUAAGUGUAGAUUAGUUAAUCUUAGGGUUAUAACUGUAUAUUUGCCUCUUUAAAAUUAAAGGUAAAUAUGGUUAAAUUAAACAUUAAAAGUGGUACUAAGAAUGUAGUAUAGUGAAACCUCUAUAAAUUAAUAAUGUUGGGACAACACCAAAACAAUAAUUUUAUAUAUUAUAAAAUUAUAUUAUUUUAUAGUGAUUUUUAGUGUAUAUUAAUUUAUAGAGUAUUAAUUUAAAGAAGUUAUACCGUAGUUUAAACAAUUUCUCAUAUUUUUAUUGAAUUAUAUAUUCUUUGGCCUAAUAUUUAUAUAAAAUAUAUAUGUAGCAUAAUAUUUAAAAAUAAUUUUAUACUUAAUAUAUAUUUUAAAUUUACAUGUGAUUACCAUUUUACUUAUCAAAACAUAAAAGCAGAUGAUCGAAUAUAUUUUGGUAUUCGUAUAAUAAUAUUUGAUCAUUUGCUUUUAUAUUUCAAUUUUCUUUUAGGAAAUGAAAUAUUGAAAUCUUAAGAAUUUAUGUGGUAGCUAUAAAUCAGGUAAAUUGACGGUUAAAGAUUAACUAUGUUAUAUAUAUUGAAAAUAUUUUGUGAAAAAUAAAAAGAUGGGAGCGUUCAAAUUUUACUAACCAUACCUUAGUUUAAGAAUAGUGGUUAUAGUUAUAUUAACCAAAUAUAUGUAUGAUUUACAAAUUAAUCUUCUACUGAAUCUAACUUUUAACAAUGGUUUAAGCAACAAACAGUCAUUUUUUCAUCAACAAAGAUCCCAAACGGUUUAUUUUAAUAAAAUCGAUCAAGUACGUCUUGUGUGUCUAAGUUUUGCUCAAUCAAAUUUACUUAAUGGCCCAUUACAACAAAUAUUAAGAGAGACUUACCUAAAGCCCGAUGGUUGUAACAAAGAUAAAGAACAAAUUUUAAAAUAUACGCCAGUUACACUAUAUAAAUAUAUUUCAGUCUGAUUUUUAGAAGUCACUUUUUUUUUUGAUCAAAUUUUAGAAGUCACUUAAGAUUUCACAAUGUUACGGAAAGAACAUAAAAAGCUUCCUUUUCUCUUUCUCUGAAAUACAGAGGCGCGAGAGAAAAAGAGAAAACCGAUGAGAAUUAAAAUUAUUAUUAAUGAAGGAAAAAAGGAAUGAUUUCUUCUUUGUCGGCAAUAUUUUUCAUUAGAAUUGGUAAUGGACUACAUGAGAUCCAAGUAAAAAAAAACAAAUUAUAGAGCCCAUAACACAAAAGCUGUUUCUGAUAAGUGUAUCAAGCAUCGUGUCCUUCAUGCUGAAAACAUCAUGGCCGCCGGAGCUCUUUGCCACCGUGAAAUUUUCCGAUUUCGGUUUUGCUCUUUCUUCACCGUAACAGAGAUUUGGAACUUCACGAACACUUCUCUAAACUCCAAUACCAAUUCAAGCAUAUCAUCUCUUCAGUCGCCAACUUCUUUCAGCUCCAAUCUUCAACAGCUAUCCCAAGGAACACAUCCACGUCUCCGGCUUAAUUUUGACCCAGAGAUCUUACACCGCCCACUAAGGACUGCGGUAAAGCAGAUGCAAUGUUACCCAAACAAAGAUAGAAUAUUUAGUUGAAGAGAUGUUGGUCGGGAUUGAGUGAAGCAAUAGAGGGCUACGGCAUGCUUUCCGAUUAUAGAUCGGAACCGUUAUUACAUCGACGCAAGAUUAAAGAAUAGAAAAUAUAACACGAAUAAUUGCUCAGAUUUAGGUCGAAAACACCACAAAGUAUUGCUAAGCGAAGAAAAAAAAAUCGAUCUAGAUGUUAACACACAAAAAGAAAGGGAAAUAGAUUUAUCCUUCCGAAAGAUGAUAGUUUGAUAAGAACGAUGAAAUAUCGAGAGAAACCUCUCUCUCUCUCUAGAAGAGGGGAGAGAAUCAAAAGAAAAGAGUGAUCUAAAGCUGUUAAAACGACUGUGUUGUGAUGACAGUGGCAUAGAUUGGUAAUUAUUGAGAAAAAAUCAGAGCUAUUUUUUAUUUGUACUUUUGUUUUAAUAUAUUAGAUGACCAUCAUUAUUAUUUCAAAGUAAUGUGACCCUCUUUUUUCAUCACGUAUGUGAAUAUAUAUACAUAUAUUAUAUCAUAUAUAAUAUUUAGUAUGAACAUAACAUAUAUUAGUGAUCCACUUUGCUUAGGUGUAUGAUCAUGUAACUAUGUAAGAUCAUAAAAUAAUAUUAAUGAAUUCUCAAUUCAUAGACUAGACUGUAAACGGUUUCUACCAAAACAUUAUAAUCAACUAAUAUUAUAUGACGGUUAAAUCUGGACGUUACGAACUUUAACUAGAGUAGAGUAAGUACAACAGAUAGGACAGAGUAAGUACAACAGAUAGGACAUUCCCAGCACCCUUUCCUUUAGUGACUAACACAGAUCUGUCCUUGUGCCCCAGAUCUCACUUCUCUACACCACCAGAAGGUAAGCUGGUGUCAUCACCAGACCCAAACCAUCGUUACUCUGAGUUGGUAACUCGUCCACCACGUGUUCGAUGAAUUUCUCCCGUGGGUUUUUCUUUGUUGCUGUCGAUUUCAACUCACCGAACGUUUGAAACAGCUACACUCGGUAGUCUCCUUCCAUGGCCUGAGCUCAGAAUCAACCGUAACUAGCUUGAAUGAACCGGAUCUGUCCUCGCCUUCCCGAUCUUUCGCUACUCUUUUGCUGACGCGGCUUCACUGGCGUUAAUGACGGAGUGAUAUCUCUGGUCGGGGUUGCUCAACGAGUUCUGUUUCGCCUGCAUCGUGAAUAGUGCCAUGGCGAUCCAUACUUUCGCAAGUUCGAUCCACCAACACCUAUAACUUAUGUAGCUCCGCAAGAAUGGCCACGUAGGUAGCUUCUUCACAGUCGAGAGGAUUCAAAGGCUUUGAUACCAUUUGUUAAGUCUGAAAAUGGAUUCUAGGUCAAAAGAUGAAGAAGAUCGUAAGUGAGAGAAACGAGCUUCAGCAAAUUGUAUUUGCCUGAUUUUUAAUAUCAUUUUUAUAAAUGAAACCAAAGGAGCUAACUCCAAUUAAGUAGCAAGGACUUAAUUUAAAACGACAAAGAUAAAUUCCAUAGAAUGUCUCUAGCGAUGUCUUUGCUCUUCAUUUCCAUUCUCUAGUCACUUUCAUAAUUCUCAUCGAUCAUUUCCAGUCUAAGACCAUCUCCAUCUCCACUCCAUAAUUUACUGCAAAAUGGAAUGGGAAAUAUAGUAAUGAAGAAACAAAAAAGUGAUUACUCUAUAAAUGGAGUGAUUUUUUAUUGUUUGCUCAUACUCCAUUUUCCACUCCAUAUUCGGAGUAAAUUAUGGAGUGGGGAUGGAGAUGAGUCAAGUGCUCAGGUACUCUUAAUGAGGGAAAAAGUGAUCUAGCGUACUCUCAUGUAAUCUGCCAUACUCUUAUCUGUUUUCCUACUCUUCAACUCGAUGGUCAAAGUCGAAAGUGCCCCUCUCUACUUGACCAAUGAAAACCCUCUCUACUUGACCAAUCAAAACGCUCCUUUACUUGACCAAUCAAAAAAAAGCGCGGUUUAUCUCUCUCUCCUGUCCAGGUGGAUUUUCUUAAUUAGUUUUAAUUUUUCUCCCUCCUCCCUAAUUGUUCUAAUUGUCUCUCUCGGCGGACGGCGAAGAAAGCGAGAGAAUGAAAGCUAGAGCGAUCAUUCGGAGUUUCUAUUGUAAAGGAGAUUGCGGCGAGCGUGGGUGCUGUAAUUGACCCCCAACCCAGGUCAGAUAAACUUCAGUUAAAGCAUUGUCUUGCUCUGUAUCUUAUAACUCAAUCCCAUCAUAGUGGACUCGAAUGAAUGAACUCAAUGCGGCUCGUUAGGUUGGGAUUUUUAGACAGUAGAUUUCGAAUAUAUGGGUCUUUGUGUUGUCAAUUGAGAGCUGUAUGGUGUGUUUGUAAUCAAAGUCAACAAGAAAUGUCGGGAAUCAAAGCUGAAAUCCGGAAUUAAAAGGGUGAAACUGGGUAGACUAUAAAAGUGUAAAUAGGUGAAACUUUACUGUCGAGAAAAAGUGUAAACAAGUAUAAUUUAGUAGGACUUUAAUAGCAAAACUGUAUAACUAGGAUUAACUUUAAUUGUAUACUUUUAUUUGGUACAACAGAUAAUGGGUUAUUCUUCUACAAACAUACACUUUGACUAUGAUGGACAAUAUGCGAAAUCUAGAGAUGAUUAUGAAUGGAUUCCAAGCGAUGGUCGUUUGUAUGGUAUAUCCUUUAAGACAUCAUCAUUGGAUGAGAUCACUUAUUCCUGUUUGAAGGAGAGGAUAUGCAAGAAGAAGAGCAUAGAUCCGUGUUUAAAGAGGAUGAAUCUGAGUUACAUUCCACUGGUAGUAGAACCUAAGAGGCAAUCAUAUAUUUUGGAUGAUGAAGAUGUGUAUGUGUAUCUGUCAUCAGUGGAUAAAGAGGGAAGAAGAAGUAUUUUGCAUGUAGAGGUCAUCGAAGAUAUGGAAAUAGUUCCAGUAAUGGAGCAACAAUCAGUAGUUGAGAAAGAAACCUCAUAUGGUGGGAUUACCCGAAGUUGAAGGUAAUCAGGGUGCACUCACUCUAUUUCCUCGCAUUGAAGAAGCAGAACUAUAUCUGCCGGGGGCUGAACGGGUGGAGAAUGUUGUUAUAAAUAGAGAAGCCGACGAAAGGGGCAUUAAUGUUGUUAAUGGAGAAGCCGGCGAAGGGGGCAUUAAUGUUGUUAAUGGGCAAGCCGGCGAAGGGGGCGUGGACAGUGAGGGCGACGUGGAUAACUCUAUGGGUGUUCGUCCUAGUUCGUACUAUGUUGAGCUCCCACGUGUUGCAAAAGAAAAUCCAGUGGUUAAAGAGUGGGAAGAUGGUUUGGGUCUUCAGUUGUUUCAAGAAUUUGAGAGUAAAGAAGCUGUGAAAGAUAUUAUUGAUAGAGCAUCACAGGAGAACUGUUUCGGAAUCAGUAUUUGCAACUCGGACAGGGGUCGAUAUGUGGUGAAAUGUCGGGGAGCUGAUGAAGGUUGUAAAUGGAGUGUGAGAGCAACAAAGAUAAAUAAUUCUGAAGCGUUCUCGAUUAGAACAUACAAGAAUAUGCAUUCAUGCUCUCGCGUAACUUCAAGUACUAGAAAGAAAAGGAAAGUUACACCAAGAUGUGUUGCAGCUAUAGUGCACAAGGAUUAUCCAGGACUAUAUGAGACACCAACAGCGAAAAUCCUAAAAGGUCUGGUGCAAAGGAAAGUGGGUGUGGAAGUGUCGUAUACGACAUGUUUGAGAGGAAAAAAACUAGCUGUUGCGGAUAUUCGUGGUGAUCCCGAGUAGGGAUAUAGAAUAUUGCCUGCUUAUUUGUAUAUGUUAGAGAAGACGAACCCGGAUACAAAAACAAGUUUGGUAGUGGAUAAAAACAACCGGUUCAGAUACCUAUUUGUUGCGCUGGGAGCCUCCAUUGAAGGGUUUGAAUACAUGAGGAAAGUCAUCACUGUGGAUGCAACUUUCCUGAAGACUAUUGAAUGUGGUUGUUUAAUUAUUGCCACGGCUCAGGAUCCAAACCUUCACCAUUAUCCAAUAGCCUUUGUUGUGGUUGAUGGGGAGAAAAACAAAAGCUGGAAGUGGUUUUUCACGACGCUGAAAACUGUUAUACCGGAUUCGACGGAAUUGGUGUUUGUUUCAGACAGAAAUCCAAGUCUGAUAAAAGCUGUUGCUGAAGUGUAUCCGAUGUCUAAACAUGGGUAUUGUAUCUGGCAUAUAUCGCACAAUGUGAAAGGUCAUGUCAAUCAUGGCAGGGACGAGGUUGCACUACUAUUCCGAAAGGUUGCAUGUCUUUAUUCAGAGCCUGAGUUUAAAAAGCAGUAUGACGAUUUUAGGGAGAGGUAUCCAUCGUGUGCUAGGUAUCUUGAUAAAAGUGUCGAAGUCGAACGGUGGGCGAAGUGUCAUUUCCCCGGUGCUAGGUACAACAUAGACACCUCUAAUUGUGCGGAGUCUUUGAAUGCGGUAUUUGAAAAGGCGCGAAGGAUGUCUUUAUUGCCUAUGCUUGAUACAGUUAUUGAGAAAAUGUCUGAGUGGUUCAACAGACAUAGGAAGGAUGCAGCAGAAGGACCGUCAUCUCGAAAAUUGGUUCCUUUGGUGGAGAACAAAUUGCAUAACAGAACACCAAAGGUUCUAAACUUACAGUGACUCCGCUGAACACUUUUCAGCUUGAAUACAGUGUUAUUGGAGCAGACGGGAAGACUUAUUCCGUGGAUUUGCAACAUAAAACGUGCAGUUGCAAGAAGUUUGAUAUAGAUAAAUACCCAUGUAGACAUGCAAUAGGCGCUAUCAUUAAGUGUUUGAAGCAUGAUAGACCAUUACAGUUGAGUGACAUGUACGAUUUCAUUUCGAAAUAUUACUUCAUUACACUGUGGGCCAAAGCGUAUCGAAGGACUAUAUAUCCAGUCUCUCAUAUAACUCAUUGGAUGGUUCCAAAAGAAGUCGCGGCGGCGAAGUGUCCUCUACCUCUAGACUACAAGAAAAGAAAGGGAAGACAUCAGGAAAAAAGACAUCCUUCGGCGGGAGAAAGUCGGCCCCGUCCCCGUCCUAAUAAGUAUAUCCCGAAUAGGGGUCUGGCUAGCUAUUUCAACUGCUCGCAGGGAACUGAAGGAACUGAAGGAGCUGAAGGAACUGAAGGAGCUGAAGGAGCUGAAGGAGCUGAAGGAACUGAAGGAACAGAAGGAACUGAAGGACCUGAAGGGACUCAAGGAACACAAAGCACUCGAGGAACUGAAGGACCUGAAGGAACAGAAGGAACUGAAGUGUUAUAUGAAUGUGAACCUUAGUGAAACCUGAUUAAAGUGAUUUCGUUUUAUGUUUGUAAAACUUGGUGAAACUUUCGUUAUGUAACCUUUCGUUAGUUGAUGAUUUAUAUUACAGUUGCGAUGACAUAACUUAUCCAUGUUCUAGGAAGAUGACGUGACGUAUUCAACAUGUUGUGAAAUCCGAAAAACUUCGAGUGAAAAAAAUAUAAUCUGGAACACAUUUUCUGUCGAAUGGGAAGGGAAUACAUAAUUGUUAGCUAUAUUUUUUGUAUACACUACCUCGUGGGAUUAGAAAAGUUACAUAUGUCACGAAAUCAAAUUUUAUUCUACAUGAGCACAUCUAAAACGUUGAUAGAAAAUAGAAUAUAUCAGGUAUAACCAUAAAAUCAAUCAUCUAAGUACAGUAAAACCAACAAAAUCGGAAAAAAACAGAAAAGUAAAACUUUAAAGGUUUUUGUAUAACUACAAACUAAGUGAAACUAUAAGCACGAAAAUCCUUCACCAAAAAAUCCGCGCCCAGUUUUUUGAAUUUCCCACCCAUUUUUUCGAUUUUUGACUUUCCACAAAAUCGAUGCGGAGGCGACGUAGACGUGUAUUAAACCCGCCAUUUACCUCAGCCAAUCUCUCUCUCUACUAUUCAAUCUCUCUCUAGAUUUCUCUCUACAAUCGGUCCCUCUUCUUUCUAGAUUUCUAGGUUACUCAGAAUCAUGACUCAUCCAGCCGAGGAGUAUAGGCAGAUGAAGGCUUGGAAGAGAGACACCAACAUGCUUGGCUGCGUGGCGGAUGCCGAGUGUGGGAUUCCGACCAGAUGCCCUUGUGGGGGGACAAUCAUCAACGAGGUGUCUCGGAACCUGAAGUAUCCAACCGAUUUUGAUACUUUACCGGGGAGAAAAUACUCCACUUGCAAAAAUUAUGAGGUAAUCUAUGGAAAACCCCCAGAUUUUUUAUUGAUACUUUCGGGUUUUGAUACAUUCCCCUUUUACGUCUAGAAUGAUGGCUUCCAUUUCCGUCAACCAUGGGUCUUCGGAGUCCAGGAAGAGGUUGAAAUGUUAAGGAAGCGCGUGGAUGCGAUGGCUGCAGAGAUUGCUGAACUGAAGUAUAAUCUAACCCGUCAGAAUCCCACCACUCCAUGAGAUGCGUCCGGUCCAUGACAUUAGUCUACUAUCUGUUGUUGUUGUUUGCUUGAGAUUCUGAUUUACUAAGACUCUUCGUAUUUACUAAAGUUUCCCUAUUCUCCCUCUUUCACGAUCUACGAAAUAUCAUAAAUUCACGAAGUUACACUAAGUUGAAAGUGAAACUUACACUAAAGUUUUCCUAUUCUCCCUCAUUCACGAUCUACGAAAUAUCAUAAAUUCACGAAGUUACACUAAGUUGAAAGUGAAACUAACACUAAAGUUUCCCUAUUCUCCCUCUUUCACGAUCUACGAAAUAUCAUAAAUUGAAAGUGAAACUUACACUAAAGUUUCCCUAUUCUCCCUCCCUCUUUCACGAUCUACGAAAUAUCAUAAAUUCACGAAGUUACACUAAGUUGAAAGUGAAACUUACACUAAAGUUUCCCUAUUCUUCCUCUUUCACGAUCUACGAAAUAUCAUAAAUUCACGAAGUUACACUUAGUUGAAAGUGAAACUUACACUAAAUUUUCCUAUUUUCCCUCUUUCACGAUCUACGAAAUAUCAUAAAUUCACAAAAUUACACUAAGUUGAAAGUGAAACUUACACUAAAUUUCCCUAUUCUCCCUCUUUCACGAUCUACAAAAUAUCAUAAAUUCAUGAAGUUACACUAAGUUGAAAGCGAAACUUACACUAAAGUUUCCCUAUUCUCCCUCAUUCACGAUCUACGAAAUAUCAUAAAUUAACGAAGUUACACUAAGUUGAAAGUGUAACUUACUAAAGUUUUCCUAUUCUCCCUCUUUCACGAUCUACGAAAUAUCAUAAAUUCACGAAGUUACAUUAAGUUGAAAUUGAAACUUACUAAAGUUUCCCAAUAUAUAACAUAAGUCUUAAAUACCAGUCUUCAACAUGAAUAUCCUUCAACAUCUAACAAGAAAGUCAUACAAACCGAAUAGAGUUCAUCCACAUUAAAACAACCACAUACGGAAUUCACUCGGUCUUCUUACCUACUUUCUUUGUCUUCUUAGCUGCUGCCUUCUUCGUAGCUGCUGCCUUCUUCUUAGCUGCCUCCUUUUCAGCUGCUGCCUCCUUUUCAGCUGCUGCCUCCUUCUCAGCUGCUGCCUCAUUCUCAGCAGCUGCCUUCUUCUUAGCUGCCGCAGCUGUCUUCUUCUCAGCAGCUGCCUUCUGCUUCUUUUCACCUCUGGUGCUCUUCUCUGCUGCCCUGCUUCUUAGCUGAAUGGGACUCCUCACAUUAUCACCACGGUCCACCUUAACCUUUUUCACAGGAACUGCUUCUUUGCCAUCAUCUUUUCUCGAUCUUUUUUUUCGUGUUUACAGACUCUGCUGCCUUAGUCUUUAAUUUUUUCUCGGCCUCCACAGCAUGUGCAUACAUCUCCGCAUCAUCAUCAUCCAUGUCAACAUCACCAUAUUCCCUCUGCACAUCCUUUGAAAUAUCGAGAAUGGCAUCUUCAACAUCAUUGUCACUACCAUCAUCUUCGUCUGGCUCGUUAUUGUCACCACCAUCCUCUUCCUCCGACUCCUUAUCCCCACCCACAUCACCAUCCUCUUCUUCUGACUCGCUAUUGUCACUACCAUCACCAUCAUCUUGGACCGCCGGAUUGUCACUUCCGGGAACACUCAACCUAAGACUUUUCACCUCCUCUUCUAGAAGACCUAGCUGCGUAGACAAUGAAGUGACUUUUUCCUUCACUCCCUUCAUAGCAUCUCGAACUGCAUCUCGGACUGCAUUCAUAAGCCGACCUUCCAUCGCUUUUAAAGCCUCAGCUCCAGGAGUAGCUCCAGUAGCCUCCACCGAAUCUGCAUGAGCCUGACCAGAUUGUGCAUUAUUCGAUGGUCCUCCGAUAGGAUUGGUGGGACCUUCAAUCUGACCUGUGCGAGACUCAAAAUCCAUGCGGAACUUUUCUUCAAAGAAAACUUGUUUCUUCUCUUUCCGUAUUAUCUUCGUCCAACGAUCAACUGCUGCAUCAUCGGCGUCAUCGGCCCAACAACUCUCCUUGUCCAUUCCUAUGGUUUCCAGAAGUUCCUCCUCAGCUGAUGUUGCUACCAAGAUACUCUCAAUAUCCUGUGGUAAAAACACAAAAAAACUAAUUACUUUAGUUUCACCAAGUUUUCAUAAGUCUCAUAAGUCCCUUCUCCACAAUUCGACUACACAUAAAACAUCAAUUACCUAUGUAUUAUUACCAAGUUUAUCGUUCACAGCUUUCAGUCUGAAUUCCUUGGUUCCACUUUUCCGUUUGUACUGCAUCUUGCACAUCCGCGGACAACCUCUGCUUGCACCAUAAACAUCUUCUCGGAAAUGGUUCCUCAAGCUUGGAAUUGGCUCAAAGGCCAACAACUACCAACACACAACAAAAAGACAUUAACAUCAAUUAAACAACUAUGUUGAAGGGAGCUUGAGAAUACCUCCAAAGGGAUAGGAAAGCUUGUAAAAACCCAACUCGUCGGCGCAACCCCGUCGCAUUUCUCCAAAAAGCUAGAGACAUCCUUCAAGUUAUGUUCGAAUGCAUACCGCCCCCAAGGGAACGUUACACACACAUCUAGGUCAUCAACAACACGCAGGAAGAAACUGUCCACAGGUGAUGCUUCCUCACCACUCUUUCGGCCUCCGACAAGGAUGCUGGCUAAGAAGAACAUAACGACCAUCUUCUUACGAUCCUCAGAUGGCUUUGAUUUCAUUGCCAACAUCUGCUUCUCCAGGUCAGCGUAUGUUACCCUUCUCCCUCCAAAAUACUUGUUCAUGAAUGUUAUACCACCCAACCUCUCAUGGUUGGGGGGAUACUCAUGGCAGUAUAGACCAGAAAUGAGUCCUAAUUCUCUAAGAGAAUAUCGGAUUGGGACGCCAUUAACGACAAACCAUAACUCAUACUUCUUCGCAACACAUGCUGAUCGCAAAACGAGAACCCAUAUUCCCAUCCACUUCUGCUUUCGGUUUUUAAUAUGGAAGAAAUGUUGGAAUUGUGGGUGCUCUAUGAACCAUUUCACCUCCUUCUCUUUCAGGAUCGUUUCAAUAGUUGUUAUCGCCGUGUCAAUGUAACACUUUCCUGAAAAGCUUUAAAGACUUUUGAUAUUCGCUUGAAGGAAAGUGCAACUUCAGCGGUCGCAUGCCCUCUUCUUCGUCAUCUACAACCUGCACUCAAGUGAGAACCGGAUCACGUACGACAUCUUACAACCAUCAACAUAUAGUUUCACAAACUUCGACUUAGUUCAGCAAUCACUAACUCUAAAUUCCACUUAGUUUUCCACACUUAUCUAAUCUUUCAAAUCAUCUAUGUAAAAGUUUUCAAUUUCAAUACUUACCGAAUCUGCAUGCGACUCAGUUUCAUGUUGUCGACUCGGAAUUAUCGCAGCUUCUUCGUCGUUUCUUCGGGGCUCUAUUUCGUCUCCGAUUUCCUUCUCUUUUUCUCCUUCCUCUCCGACUUCCUUCUCUUUUUCUCCUUCCUCUCUGACUUCCUUCUCUUUUUCUCCUACGUCUCCGCCUUCCUUCUCUUUUUCUCCUUCGUCUACUUCUCUUGAUUCCUCCCCUUCAUUUUUCUUACUUGAUUCUUCCUCUUCACCUUUUCCACUUGCAUUUUCUUCGCUUUCAUUUGCAUCUCGGGGACUUUGGUCGGUUCCUGGGGCGACAGAUUUGUCAAUAAUCCUUGGGUUUGCUUCAUCUCCGGAGAAUGAACCCAUUGCCAUUUCAUCUCCUACUACACUACUCGAGCCGUCUUCUUUUGCCUUCGUAUCGUCUCGAUUCAUCAUGAUUUGGGUUUUUGAUUGUCGAUUGAGGAUUCGAAUUGAGUAGGGUUUUCAGAGAGAUUCGAAAAGUUUUCAGAGAACUCGAAAUUAAAGAAAUUAAAUUCUACAGCUAUUCACUUAGUGGAGUACUUAGUGAGAGGAGGGGAAACGUUUUGAUUACGUUUUCAGGAAUUCAAUUUCUGGAAGUGGAUAUCCGAUUUGUUUGGGUCGGUUCUGGGUCCGGGUUUGGAUAGUCCUAGGUAAAGUUAUAAUUAUGGAAGUUUCUCUUGGUUUCGUUGUCUUUUAAUAAAUUUUCUAAUUUAAUUAAAGAUAUAUUAAAUUCCAAAUCCGGUCAGUUUCGGGCAGGAGUAUCUCAGCUCUUUUUUUUCGGGCAGGAGUAUCUGAGCGUUUAAUUCGAUGGAGAUGCCCUAACUCACAGCUGUAUCUUGCGAACCUUUGUCCACUGAUAUCCCUCCUCUCACACAUUAACUUUUUACCCUAAAUGAACUUUUUGGCUAAUUUCUAAUAGUAAUAUUUUUUGUGCUGCUGAAAUAUUAAUUUUUUUUUGUUAUACAGUGGUAUUUUGGUCCCACAAAAUUGGUCCAAACUAGUCAUGUGUUACUACGUGUCGGUCUCCUAUCCCUAGCGAUGCCAAAAUAUUAAAUCUCCAGUGGCCGGGACUCGAACUAGUAAAAAUACUAAUCUACACAUAGGAUGGAAUAUCAUAUAUAUAUAUAUAUAUUUUUUUUUUUAUUAACAAGAAACACAUUACAUCUUAGAAUUUUUAUUAUAUUAAAAAUAAUUAGUAAACAAAUAUUAACAAAUUCUAACAAUAAUAUCAUAGUAAUUAGAUUUAUUAGUUAGGUUUAUCUUAAAAGUCUAUUCUUUUCAACCACAACUUCAAAAAGCGCUUAAUUUGAAACCUAAGUUGCUUUUUUUUUUGUAACACCAAACUUAUAUUAAAAGUUUAAGGAGCAUAAGAGUUUACAACUGAAGCAGAAGAUCUCGAAGCCAUGCUCGACGGUACAAAGAAAAUAGAAAACAUUAUGAAACAUAGAUAGAUAAAGCCUAUAAGAGGCGAGUCAAGCUCAGCAAGAUGAAGAACCCCAUGGAGAAGUUUCACCUUAAUCUCUAAGGCGAUUGUUCGCAAGAACAAUUGAUAGUCGAAAUCGACGUUGAUACACCAAUAAGAAGCGGCUGGAGUGUUACCUGCCAAGAGCUUUUGGUGAGAAGCUCCAGGACCUUGGGCAACACCGAGAAGAAGAAGUCCUAUAUGACUGGAUUUGAUACUAAAGUUGACACGAUCAGUUCUAAACUCAACAAAGCUUCUCAAUGAGACUAGGUGAAUCUCAAAAGCUAGCUUAGCCUUCAUAGGGACGCUUAGGACAAUGGAGUAAGAUGACGGACUGAAUGGUUUAAUCGUGUCAAAACCUCGGACCUCAACAUUACCGUGUCGAAGCCAAUAGUUUGAAACAGAGAUAAACCUGAGCAUAUUAUCAUCACACUCGUUCUGGUUGAGCUUGUUUGAGCAAACGUCGGAUAAGAGGCAGAGCGUUUCAGUACGGUCGAGUCUCCUUGCACAAGACUUCGGAGUAACACUCCGACUUGUUGGAAUGAGAGCACAUGGCAGUGGAGAAGGAGAUAUCACAAGGAACACCCCAUUAGGGGGACGGCUAGGUGAACCGGAGGUACGCAAACAGAUUAGUACUAGAUGCAUUUUGAGGUACAGUACCUUCUUGUCCUUGAGACUAAUAAGCUGGCUAGACACGCCAAUCACAAAAAUUGAUGCCAUCCUGCAGGUUUUGGGCUGUGAAGUAAUGCAGCUAAUGGGCUCUGAUGGUGCUGUAUAGAGACGGCCGCAUUGGGUUAUUGACCACAGAAGGAGGAUGUCGACGGUGAGAAAGCUGUAGUGGUCGUUUGGAAGGGAUGCACCAGUAACUAGGAGAGGUCUGUUGCCAAGGUAGAGGAGCCAGUGAGCAGAGGACAAGGAAACAGCUUCCUGAGAGUCCUUGAUAACUAGAUCUCGUCGAGCAUAACAGAUAAGGUACAUGGGUAAGAGUUGAGCAUCGACAAAACAAGUCACUCCCGAUACUUUGAAAAUCAAAAGCCAGUCCUCAAGACUUUGAUUUGUUGUGUACUGGAAGGAGACUAGCUUGAAAUUGAUGUUUUCUUCAACCCAAAAGCUCACUUCUACAUCCAUAUCUUGCACAACUAUAGACAAGGCCCUUGCGGCUAGGUUUAGAGAUGAAGUUUGGUUUUUAAACUGAGUGUUCUUUGUCGAGAGUGUUUGGAGAUGAAGAUCAGAGACAUCAGAACUCACAGAUCUGAAGUUCAUCCUCUUCACGUCAUGGCUCACAGAGCUGGGACACGGGUUCCCGGCGGAGUAAGAGCAGAGACAGUGGUGAGAGGGAGUGAAGUUGAAGCAGACUGUUUGAGAUUCCUUAGCAGCAGCAGAAGAGGAGCAGGCGAGAAGAUGUACGGCGGCGACGUGGAAGAGAGCAACGUCUGGCAGGUCUGGUGGUUCCGGAGGAAUGACAGGAGAGAGCGAGAUUCAAGCGGGGCGUUCAAACACGGUGACAGCAGCGGAUCUGGAGGAGGCCGGAGACAUGACGGAGGAGUAGUCAUCAUCAUGGCUAUGGAGAGGAGCAGAGCUGCUUCAGUGGGAGGAGGGAAGAGCGGCGUGGCUGUAGCAGGGGAGAUUCAUCGGAGGCGUCUUGGGAUGCGGGCCUGAGAGAGUUUUCUCUAGGGCAAACUCGCAUUUCUCCAGAAUGUUAUCUUUUAUUUUGAAACCUAAGUUGCCUUAUGAUGGUUUAAUUAUAAUUAAAAAAAUUUAGACCCUAGAUCUUCACCGAUUAAACAAAAAGAUGAAAUACAAAUUUUAAUACAUCAACUAUCAAUAUAAAUAUUAAAGUUAGAUAAUUUUUAAUAUUAAUUUAAAAUCUAUAUAUAAUCUAAAAUUUUAAGUUUAUAAAAAAUUAAACAUUUGGGUAUACAUAUAAUACUCCGCACAAGAUGUAUGUAUGCACCUGAUAUGAAUAUAUUUGAUAUUUACGAAUCACAUAUCAUAAUUUAUAUUUAUAAAAUCACUAAGCAAAAAUACUCUUGGAAAUUUUUAACUAUUUUCCAAUAUAUAUAUAUAUAUAUAUAUAUAUAUAUAUAUAUAUAUAUAUAUAUCACAUAGUCAUUUUUAAUCUAAUAGUAAUCUUCACAGAAAAUCAUUGAAACUUAGUACUAUUACUAAUUAUACUAAACUAAGUAUUUUAUUUAUUAGGAUAGUAUAUUUUUGAUAUUUGUAAUUAUGUAAUAUGUUUUUAAUUGUUAAACUGCUAUUACAUUUGAUAGUUAAUUAGUCAUAAGUAUGAAAAUACAUAUGGUUGUAACCAAUGCACUAGUUAUAUAAAAUAGUUUAAUAACUCUUGAAAUUGCAAUCCCCUCAUAUGUACCUGUUGGGUUCAAACUAGUCAUACCCUUAUUAUCUAUGGAUUUAUAGGAAUAUUCAAUAUUCACUAAAGUUAAUGUUUUUUAAGUUUUUUUCUUUUGAAACUUUUAUGGAGUCUAUAUAGCAGUGCUACUUAGUUAAUGAAAGAAGAAAAAAAAUAACCAAGAUCAUGGGAGUAGUAUAUUCAUCUUCAUUUCUUCAACUGAAGCUGAAAAUUUAUUUCUCUUUUUUUUUUAACUUAAGGCUAUGUUUACAAAAUAAGGAAGAUCAGAAGUACGAAGAGCUCUUUUGCUCUUUUGCUCUUAAUUAUUCUAUUGAGAAAAGUUGAGUACUAAUACAUUUCUUCUUGCAGCAACUAUAAAAUGUACAGCUUUAUCUUUAAGCAAGAAGACUCUACAUGCUUUCUCCAAUUUACUCCUACAGAAUUUGUAGGAGUUUCAACUAAAGAAAAUGAAAAAUGUUCCAAUUCAACUUUUACCAUUAUCUUUCUUUCAGUCAGUGAGUGUAUUCCCAUUUACCAUUGGCUCCUUUAGAAGCUGAGCUUCUUCAACAGAAAAUUCUUCUGCUUAAACCCCACUUUAAUGAAUUGGAGCCCCAGUGAUUGAAUAGCACUUCAAAUCAUUAAUUAAACGUUCUAGUUCAGUUUGUGGAGCUCGAUCAUCUUAGGGGUUAGAUGUUCUGGCGAAGAAGCACUGGGACAUGACUUAGUGUCAUGUUCUUGACCAGAUUCAUUUCCCUGGAAGCCCCAUAACUCUUUAGCUAUGGCGUCCCCUUCCUCUGUAAAACAAAGUUAGAAAAUAAUGUUAAAUCUCUCAUACGCUAAUCAAGUAAACCAAAAAAAAACAAUGGUCUGAAUUCAAACCUGGCUUCAAUUUCUCAGGAUCUGGUAACUCCAGAUUUGAGAAAGGAGUACUGCUUUCACCGUUGCUCGAUGAUUUCUGAAGGUGUAAUGGUAUUUGGGAGUAUACACUAUGCAACUUUUUGUGUAACUCUUCCAUCCUUCCUGUCAUUUCAUCAGCUCUGUCCAUGUCUAUAAGAACCUGAAAGAAAGAAACUGAUUUAUGAAGCACCGAACAUAGUGUGAACAUAAAAGCUAUUGGUCACAUAUUGAUCUAACCUGAGCAGGAUGCUUAUGGAAUAUUGGCGCAAAUCUAUGCCGGCAAUACUCACUAAAGAGCAGAGUGAGGAGAAUCAACGGUAUGGUGAAACCCGAAGCAACGGUUGAUAGCUUUAGUCCGAAAAAACCCAAAGCAAUAAUCUGUGUCAAGAUCAGUGAGAAGAUUGUUGUGUUGUGAAAGAUAGGCCAGUAUUUUCCACCGCUUUCGUACUUCGUAAUAUACACGUUGAGUAUCUGCAAAUUGAGGGUAUCCAAAAGAUCAUGAGCCUGGCAGUACAAGUUCAGAAAUGAUAAUUUGAAUACUUAACUGUGGCAUUAUGUUAGAGAGGUCAGAGAAGGUAUGGAUUGCAGACUUACCUGAUUUUUGUAUAUUAGAUAUGCAAGGAAGAAGUAUAUCAGCAAAAACGGUAGAAUAAGUGGCGCUAUGACUGAGUUGGUGAAACCCAGGAGCCCAAACAAAAGCAACCGAGGAAUUUCGGUAUGGUAUGGGAACCUAAGUGUUUCGUAUGACUCAUCCUUGUUCGUUGAAAUAGCUUUUGCUGCCAGAUUCCAUAUAAGAGCCAUAGGUUGCAUUAUUUCACAAGCCAAACUGGCCCAACCAGAUGUGAAACAAUAGGUCGUAAAGAAGCCAGCCUGCAUAUGUCAACGAUUGAAGCCAUAUUUAGAACCAAUGAACUUUUUCUUUCUAAUAAACAAUAAACAUGUGAGGUGCUCAAAUUAUAAAUCGAGAUGUGUGUAAUUCCUCCACUGGCCUACAUAUUCUCCAGUUUAUGGUUUAUCGAUGUGCAAGAGAACACUACAUACAAUCUGAUCUUGGCAAAAUGUAACCAAACUAUCUCCAAGUGACUGUAGAAGCUUAAACACUGGCAAAUACUUAUGUUUUUGUGAAAUGUAUAUUACCUGUGUCGGCACUGCUCUUGCAAGUUGUGCAGGUAUGUCUCUGACACUAGAGAAGACAUUCAGUUGCCUGAUAACAGACCCGGAUAAAAUAUUCACGAAGAACACAUUCCAAAUGGUAAAAUAUAAGAUUUUGAUGCAUGCACUAUUCUUCCUUAUACUCCGUGAAAUACAUCCCUCCAAGGCUGAAAAAUACAUCAUCAGUGGUGGAACGGCAUAGAAAAACAGAAUCAGUAUCACACUGGGUAAGUACCCUGUGAUGACCUGGUUUAUAAACUUCCUGCAAAAUAGUUUGAAUGGUUGGUUAACUUUAAAGAUGUUACAAGUUAAAACCAAUUAAGAACAUAUAUAUAUCUCUAACUUUACUUUCCUUAUGGUUUUAAAUGUAAAUAAAGUACUCACUUCUUCAAGAUGCCUCUUAAAAACGGAAAUGCAUGAGACAGCUGUUCCAACUGAGUCAGACCUUGAAUGAAGGUCACAGGAAUAAGAAACACAAACAUGAAGGCAACUGCGCCAACAAGAGUUGCUAUUCUCCGUAUCCAAAGUUGUCGAUAAGGUAUGUUAAGAUUCCUCCAAUACACAUCGUGAGGUUCUGGAGCUAAGUCCGACACCCAUAACAUAGGAUUUGAUGAUUGUAGAACCUCUGAAACAACAAGUGCAUCGUAGCGUGUCUUAAAAAACACAAAAGCAGCUGGACGUUCCUGCAAUUGAGCAGAACAUUUUGUGGCUUUAGUUAACUAUGACUUCCAUACAAAGAAGGCAGUGUUACUUCUAAGAUCAGGGAAAGUCAGAAGAAUUCCUUACUUGCUCUGUUGUAGUCACAGUCAACUCACCAAGCUCCAUUCCUUUCACACUGUCACCUUCAUUAGAUAGGAUAUGAAACGAAUUUGUGGCUGUAGGUCCUCCACAAAAGUUACAUGGAGUCAAACUCGGUUUACAACUGAUUUCAGGAGAAACAUGUUUUAGACUCAGGCACACCCUCUCUGCAUCAUGCUGAGACAGAAAUUGUGGUAAUCUAAAGGUCAAAAUAUUUCUACAAUAUAGAACUUCAAUCUCAAAUAUGUUUCUAACUAUUUCUGUUUUUAUUCAAAAUGAAAGCGCUACAGUUAGUACAAGAAGAUCCUUUAUAUCCGAUAAUAUGAAUCUAAACUAUAUACCCGUUUAGCUGAUACUCAAACUAAAUUUAACCAUUAUAUCUACUGUUCUAUGUAAGAUCAUCCAUCUCUGCAUGUAUUUAUGAAAUAAAUAACCCUUUAUAACAUCUAAUCAUCACAUUAUACUUCAGAACCAUGAAGCUCUGCACCAACUACGAAAGUUAUUAAAAUUGAAUGCCGAAAGAAGAAGAAGAAACAAACACAACAUAGGCAAUAUUUUCAAAUCAUAUUCACAAAGAGCAAUAACAGAAGUGUAUAACAAAAAUUCUUUCUGACAAGGUACACCAAGAGGUUACCUGCAUCCUAAAAAGAGCUUAAAACCCGACAGACAACAAAAUAAACAGACCACUGAGUGGCCCCAUGAGAAUACAUACCAGCAAUCUCUGAAUGAUGCCAUUAUGGUAAACCAUCUGGUGGGACAAAUAGCUUGAUGAAUAGUAAUUUAUGAAGUAUUUGCUCAGGGUGUCGCUGUAAGAUUGCUCAGGAUGCCAUGGAAUAGCUCGGAUAAGAACGGUAAAUUGACUUGGCUUUGGGGCAGAACUAGUAAUAUGUCCAAGCCUCAUUUUGGCUAUGGUCCUAUACUCCUACAGUAAAAAGAUGUUUAAGAGGAGGAAAGGCAAAGUAGAGAAGAACCAAGAGGAACCAAGAGUAAAACAAGAGGUCUCACAAAGUAGAGAAGAAGACAUGCUGCUGAAGUUAUAAUGUACAGUGCAAGACAAUGAACCCACAGCCUAAGCGUAAAGUUGCAAAAAAAAAAAAAAAAAAAAAGAAAGAAAGAUCAGCACUUCACGCACUUUGUAUAGAACAACGUUGAACUAUAGUUCCUCACAGAGAAAAAGGUAGAAGUGAAAGCUACACAUUUUAAAGCAAAAUCACGAUUACCAUUUUGAACCUUCUUUAAGAUUUUCGAUAGUGAACACUUCGGAUGACUCCAAAUGAAUUUCCUUGUGCAUCCUCGGUUGGCCAUAAUAAUUUACAGGCAGCACAAAGGCAAUACAAACAACAGCAGUAAUAAAGAAAAUACGAAUGCUGCAAGAAAAAAAAAAAAAAAAAAAGGUCAAAAUAGUUGUGAUAAUUUAUGAAGAACAAAGAAAAAGCAUUUGGGGAAGGAGAAUUUGCAGUAACCUGAAAAUGACCAUCCUGAGGAAAACAACAGCGUCAAGACCAGCAGCAGUUAAUAACUCAUCUUCGCUAGUUUCCCAUGCUUUGACCAGCCAACUUGGAGAAGGCACAAACCUUUCGUACCAAAAAGGAUCAUAACGUCUAGCACCUCCACAAACAAGCCUUCGUCCAAAAUAGACACAGUAAUUGGCUGGCUGUUUCCUAAGUACGGAAUAAAGUGAGAGAAGCACAAUGCAUAUCGAAAUGUUGAUCCCAGCAGAUGUUAAAAGAGCUGCAAUCUCCAUCUCAAACCCUCCUCACUAAAAAUUGGCAGGCAGAGAAGAACUUCAUAAGCCUAUUCAAUCAGCAAAGAAACUGUAAGGAAAAGACAGACAAAUACGAAGUUUAAAACUCUUCAUUGCGGAGAGAGUAAUCUCCUAAUUGGAGAAACGUGUUGUAUGUUGUUGAAUGGGGGAAUUGUUGUUACCUAUGCUUAGCUUAAAAUCCAUAUCUUAACGGAUCUAAUAAACAACAACCUCAACAAGAAAGAAUACAUAAUAAGCAGUACCUAAACUACAACACUAAUGCUCUUAGAUCCAAGUAAUCAAUUUCUGUUUUCUCCGUACACAAUUCAUUUUCUUCCUUUCUCAGACUCAAAUUCCAUUGUUACCUUUUCGAAUCAAAGCAUUACUACGAUAGAGGAAAACAUUAACCAAAUCCAAAAACAAUACCAAGUGAAACAACGAAACAAGAGAUCUUCGCCGUGACAAAUUAAACGCCAAAACUUUGGUUUGACUUCCGAGAAAUCAAUCACAGGACGAGAGAGAAUACAGAAACCCUAAGAACUCGCAGAGAAGAGAAACACAAAGAAUAAAAUAAAAAGAAUAAAAAUGACACCAAAUUGCUUUUUCAAUUCCAAUCCCGCGAGGAAUUCGCGUUGUUCCAGUUCAUAUCUUAUUAAACGAUACAUGAAAAAUAAAUAAAUAAAUAAAUGAAAAAUGCGAUAAUAUUAUUAGGUGAGGAGGAAUGCCACGCUGUGUGGCCGGCGCGAGGCGGGUGCCACUGACACGCCACGUGUCAGAAUGGUAGCGGUUGUUGCAUGGAUAUGUGAGAGCGACUAUUCUACCAUUGAUUUUAAUGUGUUGGUACGAUAAUGACACGUGUGGACCACAAUCAUUUCCGUGACGCUUUUUCUUCUAACAUUCAAGUAUUAUUUAAGACUGGCGACAAAAUAGGAAGGUUAAGGUAUGUGUUUUUCUAGCAGUGAUGACAUUAAAAGUUAGAUUUAAUAUCUCUACUAGAUUCUGAAUCUGAUCUAUAUUUUCAAAACGUGAAAUUAUAAUUUAAAUAUUUUCUAAUAUAUUAUAUUUUUUAGAUAAUACAUAGUUCUGACUUUAAGAAAUUACAUAAUAAUAUAUAAUUAUAGAUAUAAAGUUUAACAUAUGCUAACAUAUUUGGUUAUAAAAAUAUUAUAUAAAUUACGAAUUUAAUCCAUUCUAACGAUGGAUGAUAUUUUUUUGUCAACUUCAUUAUCUAAUAUAUAAUAUUUUUUGAUAAUACAUAGUUGUGACUUUUAAAAAAUACAUAAUAGUAUAUAAUUAUAGAUAUAAAGUUUAACAUAUGCUAACAUAUUUCUUUAUAAAUAUAUUAUAAAUAUUAUGAAUUUAUCCCAUUCUACCGGUGGAUGAUAUUUUUUUGUCAACUUCAUUUUGUUAUUAUAUUUUAAAAGGAUAAUACAAUAAUUUUUGCAACCAAAGAGAAUGUGCAUAGAAAUAUGAACAGAUGACAAGAUUUCAAAUUAUUUUUUGCAAGUAUAUCUGCUGCUUGGUUUAUUUUCCUGUUGACAUGAUCCAAUGAGCAUUGUGUUAAGCAUUACGGUGGAUGAUAUUUUACUCAUCUAUUUAAAUGAAAGUAGUGUUUUAAAAAAUAAUAUAGGUUAAUAUAUUAAUUUAAUAUAAUUUUCUUAUUUAAUUUCAUAUAGUAAUUGUAUUUUCAUAUAAUAAAGACUAAGGUUAUGAAAAUUUAUAAAAUUUUAACAUAGAGUUUUUUUUGUUUUAUAGUAAAGUUUUUGUUACUAUAAAUUUAUAAUAUAAUUAUGGUUUAAUCAUGAAAAUUUUUUGUAGGAUUUCAUUUUUCUCAACAUAUUUUUUAUAAUUAAAAGUAAUAUAUAUAUAUAUAUAUAUAUAUAUAUAUAUAUUCACAUCAGAUUUGUCAUUAAUAUAUUUAAUGAAUAAUAAAAUAUUCAAAUAUUUCUAAAUAACAUAUUUUGUAAAUAAUACUUGAACUAAAUGUUAGUUUUGUACUAUAGUUAUGUUUUAAUAAGAUAGAUAAUUGAACAAGUAUCUUUUGAAAGUAUCAUCAUACUAUUAAUUGAAAACACAUUUAAUAUUAUAAUUUGAUUGGCUGAUUAAAUUUUAAAUGUGACUUUGCAAAGGUGAUGAGUCAUAUGUGACUCAUCAAAACCUAGGAUCAGUCUCUCUAAACAUGUUGACUUGGCUAAUGCAAGAUCAGCUUCUCUAAACUGUUAUUAAUUACCCAUUUCUCAAUCUCGAUUUGUGUUAAUCUAUCAUCAGGUUGUUCUAAAAAUUCCCUAAUGUUAUUAUCCUCUAAUCUCAAAUAAUAAUUUCAAAUCAUAGUAUUGAAAAUUUUGUUUUAUAAAUUUAAGUUUCAUUUUUGGUUUAAGAUAUAUAUAUGUGUGUGGUUUAUAUAUACAAAAUUGGAUUAGUACUAUUGAUUUAUGAUUUCAUGUCUGCAUACGCUAUCCAUUUAUAUACAUAUAGCAUUAAAAUUUAUAUAGUUUAGGGUUUAGAGAUAUGGGACUACUUUUCUCGGUGGGCGGGAUGAUCCGUCGACAGCUUCUAGCUCCGGUGGUGUAUCUGCACCAGAUUCGUCCCUGAGAGCCAAUCUCAGGAAAUACCACCGCAGACGACGACUCACCAGUCUGUGCCUCUUCCUACACCUUAUGUGCUUCCUCCACCACCGUGUGUGCCACCACAGCAUCCGCACCAUCCUCCGCAGCAUCAGCACAUCCCCAAAAUGCUGCCCCGGCUCCUGACCCUCCUGCAGCACCUGCCGCAGGACUUCAUCUGGACUUGAUGGUGCCACCGGAUGCUCCGUAUGCCAGGUAUACGGUCGAGGAUCUGCUCCAAAUGCCUGGUCGCGAAGGUUUAACCAUCAUCGACCACUUUAAUUCAGUUAUAUAUCUAAUUUAAUUGUCCGUCAAAAUUUUACAGGUUUAAGACGGACAAGGACCUUGGAAAAUCUGUUUUGGAGACCAUCAAGUCAUACUUCAAAGAACCACAUCCGAACUGAAGUCUUACACCUGACUAUGUUCGAAGGGCUUGGUUCAAGUAUUUUGCGGUAAGUUUAAAUUAUUAUAAAAAUCAUAUUUUCAAUUUUGUUUAUUUAAAUUUUAAACUAAUCAUUUUUUGCAGAAAAUGGAAUUGGUCUAUUGCCGUCAACGAGAGAGUCAAGGAGGUUUUCAACCAAAAGGCGAUGGAUCACCUUAAGAACAAUGUUGGUGACUGGAAAGAGAAAUGGCGGUUUCACGAGGAUGCUGCAAAACCGACGUUCAUCAGCGACUACGUUUGGACAGGCCUGAAGGCCUAUUGGAUGAAUCCUCGCAAUAUUUGCACGUCGAACAAUUGCUCAGUGGCCCGGUUGACCCCUGAUUCUGAAGGCAAUUUAUCGUUGCCCCAUACUUCUGGACAGACUCCACACGCCGGAGUCGCCUUGAUGAUGGUAAGUAUUAUUUAUUUCUUAAUUAAUUUUUUUUAAUUAAUAAAUAAUUUAAUUAGUUACUAAUGCAUAAAUUUUUAUAAUUUUUGUACGUAGGCCACUGAGGAAGGAGCACCACCAUCCCUUUCUCAACUUUACAAGAAGACACACAGCCAUAAAGAUGUCACAUUUGUCGAUGCUCGGGCAGAAAGGAUCCACAACGAAAUGGAGGCUUGGAUCGAAGAGGUUCAGACCAGUUGUCUCAACAAAUACGGAUGCCCCACCGGUCCAGUUGUCAACCGUCGAGCAGGAUAAAAUUUUUGAACAUGUAAAUUAAUAUGUUUAUUUACAUUUUUUAUAUAUAUUUUUUAUAUUUUAAGAUAUAUUUACUAAUAAUAAAUCAUACUUAAUUAUUUAUUGAAGAUUAUCCCGAAGAAAAGGGGAUGGAAGGUCAGGAUCGGUUCGGUGAACGAUGUUCCUAGGGCGAUAGCAGCUUACGCUGCUACAAGGGAGGAGGAACAUGUUCGGCUCCGUGCAUAUUUGACAGCUGCCAACGGAGUCAUCUCGGAGCUGCAGACCACCAAAGAGCUUUUUGCGAAAAUGUUUGACCUCGUCGCGGAUUCAAACCCGGUGCUUGCGCAGCAGUGGCGGAAUGUACGUCCCCGCAUUCACCGCGACCCCACUCAUGAAGAGCAACCGGAGUUAGAGAGACAAGCCGAAGUCAAUAGUUCCCAGCUCCGCGACGAUCUUAACCUUCAUUAGAUUUUUUUUAUGUACGUAUUUUGUGUUUCUAUGUUUUCUAUUUUGGAUAUUACAAUAUUUUAAUAUAUUAGAUUUUUUAAAAAUUAGAAUUAAAUUUUUUUUGUAAAGUUUUUUUUCUAAUUUUAAAAUUUUUUGAAUAAAUAUUUUAUUUAGUAUUUGAAUAUCAAUGUAAUAUUGUCGUGGAAUUUACGACGUGUUCACGUCGAAGUCGAUGUAAGCUCGCCGUAGCAAUUAAAAUGACAUUACAUCGAUCUUCGAAGUGAAUUCGUCCUAAUGUUUACGUCCACGAAAUCAUGUUUUUACGUCAAACAUGUCACGUCAAUAUUACAAUGAAUAAUUACAAUGACUUUACGACUAGAGUUGAGGAUGUAAGCUUACGUCUACUUUACAAUGACUAAUGUUACGACGAAUUAACAUAUACAGUGUUUCGUCGUAACUGUACGAAGAUUUUACGUCGAUGGCCCGUUACGACGAGCUAUUAACGACGAUAGUCAAAUCGUCCAUAAGUCGUCGUUAUUGGCGUAUAACGACGAUAUAACGACGAUACGUGCAGUCUUUAUGCCUUUGUUUUCUUGUAGUGAUAUAUAUUGUUUGAUCCUACAACUGAACAUGUUGAUAAUUUCAUAAAUAUGUACAUAUAGUGAACUCAUGAUCAUGUUUUAAGUAGAAUGAAUAUGAAUUAGAUGUUUUCAAUCAGGUAUCAUUUGGUAAUUAUUUAGAUAUCCACAUUAAGUUUUUCUCGAGAAAUUUUCAAAAAGAAAAAGACUUUACCCGGUAUUUUAGAGUCAACAUCGGUAAGUAUUAACUAAAUCAGUUUUUGUUUAUAUCUUAUUGAUUUUUUCGUAUAUAACCAUAUAUGCCGAGUGUUAUAUUAUAUGUAGUUUGGAAAACGGGUUGUUGUGUCACCAUCAAAGGGACUUCCAAAAUUGGUAUUAUUGGGGAUGAAACACAUGUAAUCUGAAAGCUCAGGAAUAUGGAGAAUUUUCUGGCGAUGAUGGAACUCAGUCGAAGUACAACUGUAAGACGUGUAGCGAUGUUAAUCUGGUUUUCCAAAGGAACAUUCUAUUAGAUAUGCGUAGUUAGUUUUAUAACAUUACUAGAGCUUGGUCCACGUAUCCGUGCGAUUAUUUGUUUUUUAUUUUAUUAUAAAUAAAUAUUUAUUUGUAUAAGUGAUAAUAUAUAUUUUAAAAUUUACCCGCUUAAAUAAUAUUUUAAUAUGACAAAACACAAUAAUUUUAUAUUUUAUAUUGAUUAAUUUUAUUUUAUCAUGUAAACCAUUAAUUGGAUUAUCAAUAUUUUUAGAAUAUGACAUGUAUAUCCACGCAAAUGUAUUUUUUAUUUUUUAGGGAUCAAAAUUUUAUGAUAAUGUAAAAUAAAAUUGUUGUAUAUACUAAUUUUUAGUAGAUCAAAAUUUUAUGAUAAUGUAUAAUAAAGUUGUUGUAUAUACCAUUUAUUAUGUAUAUAUGGAAUUAAUAAAAAUAAUUACCAUAUAAUGUAUAUAUUUUAUUACGAAAUGUAUUUAUUUCCAAACACGCAUAUAUCUAAUAAAAUAGGAAAAUAAAGAAUAAUAAAAUCUAGUUUUAUUAGUUAUUGUUGCCAUAAAUUUUUAUUUAGAAAUUCAUUAAUUAAAGAGGAAAAGAAAAAAAAUUCCUAAAAGGUAUGUUAAAUUAAUAUCUUUAGUGGCAUGCCAUUGUAAAUAAGUAAAACUAAGGGAUAUUUUAUUUUUGUAUUUUUGUUUUAAUAGAUUAGAAAAAUUAUAUAGCUUAGUUCUGAGUUGCUUAAAUUUAUUGUUGGAAAGAUAAUUAUUUUUUAAGGUUUCUAUAAAAGGGGACGAUAAUAAGUUUGGAAAAUCACGUUAUGUUGUGGAUUGUUAUUUGGAUGACCAAGACAUUACUGAUAAUUGGCUUGAAAAUUCCUUUCAGAUAUUAAGAUCUUUAUACUUUCUUUACACAUCAAAUAAUUCUUAUAAUUGACUCUUUAUACUUACAAGUGCAGCUUUUAAUGCUUACAAGUGCUGAAGAUUUUUCUGAAUCAUCUCUGGCCGAUACACAUACACCAAAAUCAAAGAAUGAUAACCAAGGAAUUGAUGUUAAAGAUCAACGAUUAGUUGCAAAACAGAUUAAAAUGGAAAAUAAUAAAUGAUUUACUGGUUUUUCUGUUGUUGUCGAUUUUAAUGAUUUAGCUACUUCUAUUUGGUUGUGAUUGUUUCAAAGUUUGGUAUUUCCUACUUUAAAAUUCAAUAAUGAUGAUGUUUUGGUAAAUUUAUAUCUUAUUAUGUUUGAAUUUUGUUUUUUUUUGUAAUACAUGUUAAUUAAAACUAUUUAUAUAGUUUAAGAAUUCACAACAAUAUCUAAAUUUUCUUGCGAUUCAACUACUCUCACCAUUUGAUCAAGUUUCCAAAGAUAAAUGUCAAGUUCGGAGAAUAGAUGUGAAGUUUCUAAAGAUAAACACUAAGAUCAAAGAAAAAUGGAAUAUUUUCGCGAAGCGAUAAACUCGACUGAGGGCAGAAAAGGAAAGAGCAAACCUUCACUAGGAGGAGUAUAUAAAGACGUCGAGGUUGAAGAUGCAGAAUGAGACUUUUUACACAUUCAGAGCAAACUUAGCAUUAAGAGCAAUAGGCAACUUUCCAUUUUUGGUUUCGAGCUGCGACUCAACUAGGUUUUCGUAGUCUUAGGUUGUUAGAAGUAGGGAACUCGCCGGCAGCUCUCGCAGCCAAGGCUAUGACCUUGUUGUAACGCUCAUACGCAGAUUCAGAAUAAGACAUCCUUUGCUUUCUUUUUUCGAUUCUCAUAUUUUAUUCUGUCUGUUUAUUUUGUGUUCUGAUUGCUUGGCGUGUGGUUUAGCAGAUAUCCGGGAUCUCUGGGAAAUUUAGGAUUUUCUAUCUUUCCUAAUUCAAUGAAAAUCGACAGUGCGAAUUUCGGUUCCCAGAAAUACCAGGUUUUAAUACAUACAAAGAAAUCAUUCAGAUAAACACUAGUAAAAAUGUUAUAAUAGAAGAUAAUACUGAAAGUAAUACCGUAUUUUAUAUGAUGCUCACUACCACAAUAAGAAAUUACUUCACUGAUAAUAUAUAUAUAUAUAUAAUGUAUUUGCAGCUUAUCAAAAUAAAUACGCAGUAGAUAGUGAAUAUGAUCUUGACCAUGAUAAUUAUAUCAAUGCUGAUGAUUAUAAAAUUGGUCAGUCAUCUCGGCAUGUUGUGAAUAAUGUCAAUUUACGUAAUAUUUUUUGUACCAAUCGGAACAUCUAAUUUUCGUGAACAUAAGUCAUAAAAUGGGAAAAAUAUAUGUUCAGUACAUAUGUAAACAGAAACUUAGUAUAUUAUUCUAGGGUUGACGAGCUAUUUCUCCAUAAGAAGUAUCGCAUAGCACUAUAUGUCUCACAAACUAUAAUCCCGUGCUAUUUCCCCUGAAAUAAAAGUUCGAAUCCUAUUUGCCCACAUAUGUUGGUUUAUACAAAACCAAAUAAGAAUCUUCAAUACCGGAGAGUAACCCGAAAUCACGACCAUAACUAAACCAAACAAAAAUCCGACCACAAUUUUACCCGACCAAAAGUAACACCAGAGAAAAAAAAUUUGAUUCGACGCUUACAUAUUCAUAAACCCAGAACACAAAAAUCUCCAAUUUUCUGAAAAUAAAAAUAAGAACACUAAAUCCUCUUUCUGGGUGUUUGAAGAAUCAUAACGUCAGUGUGCGAUUCCUAUCAAGAAUCUACUCGGAUUUGGGAUUGAACUAAGAACAAUCUACUCUUCUUUCUGUUAAAACUCUAGUCUAAGCUUCUCAAACUCUCUCCUACGAAGAAGAAGGAGAUACAAUAUGUAAAUACUAAUGGAGAACUCUCUUUGAUUGGCUGAGAGACUAAUGAUCACACGUGCCUCUCACAUGUCUUGUAUAUCACCUCGAGUCUAACCCUCUAAACCAUUUAGAGUCUUCAUCACACAGUAGUUGAGAAUAAGAUGACAUAAACCUUCAAAUCUCCACCUUGUCACUGAUCGUCUCAUGCUCUUAUCUAGUCUUGAAUUUCCCCUCCAGUACAUGAGAAAACCUGCUCAUCUUCUGACAUCCUUGCAGUUCCCUGCAUCUACUUGCAGUCUUGAGAUUCCACCUUCUCAGCUUCAUAUCUCCAUGGAUAAAACUCAUCCAACUUCUUAUCUUCUGAGAAAACUUGCCCAUUUGAGCUUCCCUGCUUAACUUCCAAUGCUUCUUUGUAACUUGAAAACGUCCUUGCCGCUUCUUUUAAACCACAGCUCUAACACAAAUUUUGCCUUCAAAUACUUAAACAACCACCAACAAACCAGACUUGAACGAACUCAAUAAACUCUAGUCGUGAUAUGUAUCACACCACCAUUCCCGACUUGUAACGUAUGAGUCAAAUCUUUUGUAACGUAUGAUGCGGAAGAAGUACGGCUUCAUCUCUCUGACUGUAAUCCUCAUCAUUCAAACAAUUGAAUGUUAUUACACGUAAGCUCGUUAUCUUGUUCUCGUACUGUAGCAAAAGUUUUUAUGAUGUUUGUAAUAUUUUUUUAAAAAAUUAAUUAAACUGCAAAUAUUUUAGUUCUGAUUAAUAAUUUAAACUUGAAAAUAGACAAAGAAAACAUAAACAUAAAAACCGACAAAAGAUUCAAAGAUUCAUAACUUAGCACAUAAAAAAAGUAAAUACCAUAACCAGAGAACACAAAAGCCGACAAAAGAUAACAUAAACAAGUCGAAAUAACAUAAAUCCACAAAAGUUGAGACAAACGUUCCUAGAUAUAACACCAUAGAUAAUAUAAAACAAAGACCAACCAUCAACCACCUUCAGAACCAGCUUGAGAAGCACCUUGAGAAGCACUUUGGAGAAACACCUUGAGAAGCACCUUGCGAAGCAGCUUGAGAAGCACCUAGAGUCGGAACCUGCUUUUUCAUAUGAAACCUUGAGUUAUGAUCAGCUUCACCACAGAUUCCACAAUGAUAAUCCGCUUCUUAUGCUUUGGUUGCUUCUUGGUUGGAGACUCGUUAACACCCUUCUUCCUUUUUUUAUCAGCCUUAGUUGUUUUUUUUCCCUGGUUGGUCUGGAUCAGGCGGAAUAUGAACAUCAGGAGCUCCUGUUGCAGGCCAAAAUGGAGCACCUCUCACAGGGACAAGUCCUUCUUCAUAGUUCUUUCUCCACAUAGCUAUCCGGAACCACUGACAUACAAACUCUUCAGGCGCAAGCUUCUUCUUCAACAUCACAGCAUAUGCAUGCUCACACAGGAUGCCGCAGAUCUCAAACUUCAUACAAGUACAAGUUCUUCUCUCCAAGCUUACACGGUAUGUACAGCUACCCAACUUUACCUCAUACAUGCCAUUAGUGCUUCUUGUCACUGUACACUUAUCAUCUUUCUUUUUCUCGGGUUCAGGAAAUUCUGUCACAUAAGGUGUACAAAUACCUGAAAAAAAUAUAAUCAAAACACAAGUAGUAGCUUAAAAACCAGACCAAAACCCCAAAAAAAAAUCAGAAGCUUAAAAAGUAGGCCAAAACCAAAAAAAAAAGAAAACAUAAGCUUAAAAUCAGAAGCUUACCUUUGUGACCACGAGAUGUUGCAGAUCUCUUUGCAAUCCGCACCAUAGCUAGUCUUCUUAUCGUCUCUAGCAUAGAUACAAAUGGUUUCUCCCUUGCCUUCGUUAUAGUACUGUUAAAAGACUCAGUUGAGUUGUUAUCCACAUCUUCACAGUAAGGCUCCAUCUUGUAGAAAGCUCUACACCACGACUUUGGAUUUGUCUUCACAACAUCCUCAUAGACUCCGAUAUCAUAACACCGAAUCCUAUCCAACCUUUGUUGAUAUUCAUCUUCAUUGUAACUCCACGCUAAACUCCAUAUAAAUGGCUUCAUGUCCUUUUUACUCCCAUGGUUUUUCUUCAAAUUCCCAUAUAUGUGCCUAACACACAUCCUAUGCUCUAUCUUGGGAUGCUCUUGUUGGACAGCACUAAUCAAUCCCUACAAAAAACAUUAAUCAAUCGUCAGACAUACAUAUCAUAACCAUGUUUAAAGCGACCAUGUUUUACCUUUUGACGAUCGGAUACAAGAAUGAAACCAUCACCAUCCUCCAGUUCCAAGUUCUUCUUCACCAUCCUUACAAACCAUAGCCAAUUAUCUGUAUUUUCAACUUGAACAACACCCCAAGCCACUGGAUAAAUUGCAUUGUCGGCAUCUCUUCCUAAUGCAACCAAUUGCUGUCCUUUGAUCUUGUGCUUAACAAAGUACCCAUCAACUCCAAUCAGCGGUCUACAAGACUCUUUCCAUGUUCUUCUUACAUUUUCAAAACAAAUGUACAUCCUAUUAAAUUCUUCUUCUCCUUUCUUAUUCUUCAGAGUAUCAAUCUCCACAGUUGAUUCUUUGUUUGAUUCAAUCAACUCGGCUGCGUAAUCUCGAAGACGAGAAAACUGAUGAUCAUACUCACAUUCAGUCCAUCUCACUGCCUUAUUCCUAGCUGCUUGACAUUGAGGCCUCGAGACAGUGAUUCCCCAUUUCUCCUGAAUUAUUUCUUCAAUUUUCAUGGGGAUAAAAUAAUCAGGCUCUUCUCUGAUUUUAUUAACAAACAACCUAGCGAUUUGUGGGACCUUAAGCAUAGAACACUCUCCAUUAGGCACACAUGAAUGCUUAUCAACAAACACCCUCACUUUCCACACAUUAUCACUAGGAAGAACAGACGCAUAGAUUUUCCAUUCGCAGCCUUCACUCUCAUUGCCACCAGCACACUUAAAACCAAUUUUAUCCUUGUCAUACCUGUAUUGCUUGAUAUUUUCGCCUGUCCUGAGUGCAUAGUCGAGAAAACACUCCUUAAAAGCCACUCCAUUGAAGAAAGUCUGCUUCUUGUACAACAUUCCAUCACCUCGUUUGAUAGGGCGCAUAAUCUCAGCACUUGGCUUCUUUUUCAAGCCUUUCUCUUCCUCGUGAUCACUGUCUGGACAUUGAUCAUGGCAUAUUGAAGGCUCGUCAGCGAAGUCUCUAAUCAAAUCUUCGAUUUCGUUUUCAUCUCUAUCUGCAGCUUCUUCAUCGAAAUCGUCAUCCUCAUGGGGAGUAAGGAGUAACGCCAUUGACAAGCUUCGAUCUUAUCUCAGCUACUUCAAUCUCUCAUUUUUCCACCAACUUCGAUUUCGUUUUUGAUUCUCUUUUUCUUUUUGUCGUCGUCUUUGUUUUUCUGUAAGUGAUACUUAUGAUUUUGGGGAUUUCUAACCCUAAUUUUGAUUUGGUGUUACUUUUCGGGUCUGGGUAAUGGGUUAAUGGAUUUUCUGGUUUUGGUUUACUAUUGUUUGGUUUAAGUGAUAAAACAGACCCUAUUCGAGUCAUUAAUUGGUUCAAAGCUGGAUUACCUUUCUCUCUGGUUAAGUUUAAGAAGCAUUUAACAGCACAAAUUAAUUUUAUGGAAUUUUAGCUCUUGAACUUUUAUUUCGGGGGGAUAUAGCACGGUUUCAUAGUUUUGUGGAGAAAUAGGAUUUAAACUUUUAUUUCGGGGGGAAAUAGCACGGGGUUAUAGUUUGGGAGACAUAUAGUGCUAUGCGAUACUUCUCGUGGGAAAAUAGCUCGUCAACGCAUUAUUCUAUUAUAUGCUGUCAAAUGAUCUUCUCUUAUAUUAAUGUUUUCUUAUAAAUGUUAUAGGUUAUCCAGAUGAUGGUUAUCCUACAUAUGAUUGUGCUUUUUGUAAAUAUCAUAUGUGGUACGUAAAAAAAUAGGAAACCAAAAAAGUAAUCUAAACCGACCUUUACUAUGUGUUGUAACAGGGGAAAGAUAGUUAUCUCAGCUUCUCGAAAUUCUCCUCUAGAGUUGGUACAUUAUUUAUGCAAAAUGGAUGCUUUGACUAAACACUUCCUUUAGUUUAUUCGAGCAUAUAACAUGAUGUUUUCAUUCACAUCACUGUGAGGAAGAAUUGACCAUACGAUUAACAAUGGUCGAUGUCCAUAUGUUUUUGAAAUAAAUGGUGAAAAUUAUCACCUAAUGGGUGACAUGUUACAGAAAAUGGUGAAAUCCAAGUUUCUGCAACUCUACAGAUAUGAUAAUAUUAACGAAAUUUCAAACAGUAUCAAUGCUUAAGGAUAAUCUGUUCAGUGUGGAAUUCAUGAUUAGAAAUAUAUUUUAAUCGUAAUAUAUGUUACAAUAUUAAACUUACCAUUAUUACUUUUCAGGGUACUGGAGCCGACGUAUCAAGUCUGAAAGACGAUAUUGUUUGAAUUUUGAAGAAAAUUUUGGACGAUCAGAAUCCCAUGUUAAGGCUUUCAGACAAUCUAGCGACAGAUUUGAUGUCGAGUGAGGUGAAAAUUUUAAGCUAAGGUUGAUUGAUUGAAGAGCUCCAUAAGGAAGAACACACAAUCUGCCUACAACUGAUCAGGUUGCAGCACUUACUCCUGGAGACUUUAUCAUGAAUAUAGAGAAACGAGAUAUUAUUCUCGAGACAAACACAUGUAGAUAUCACAGAAUUAGCGAAAAACUAACAUAUUUUCCUCUUCAAUGUCCUAUAUUGUUCCCUUAUGGUGGAGAUAGUUUUCCUCUUGACAUACCGAUUGGUCUUCAAAACACAACCGGUAGAAAACGUAGUCUAUCACAAUGCAAGAGUUUUCUUUACGUAUAAAAUUCUGGAGAGGUAUUGUGAAUCGCGAACUAUAAUCAGAUCAAGAAGGUUAUUUUAAAAGUUUCUUAUCGUUGGAUACACAAUGCUUGAAUCAAAUCGUUUACGUUACGUUUGGUUUAAUCAGAAAAAGCUUCCUUGCAAUAACUAUGAAAAUAUUAAAAAGCCUUUGCGGCUGAUGUCGAAACUCUAAAUGAUCAAGGUACGAGAAUUUAUAUUCCAUCAAGUUUUACCGGAUGACCACAUUAUAUGCAUACUCACUACCUUGAUGCAAUGGACAUAUGUAGGUAUACUGGAUUUCUAACAUAUUUAUUACAUUUAAAUUCAACCGAAAGUGGCCUGAGAUUACCACAUAUCUUCAUCAUUUAAGGUUGAUUAUCGAAGAUAGACCAGACAUUAUUUUUACAAUUUUCAAGAUUAAAUUUGAUGAUCUCAUGGCUUAGUUGACCAUGAAAAGAGGCGGAAUUCUUAGAAAGGUAUUAACUAUAGUCAACCCUAAUAAGACAUAUUGUUAAUUAUAUUAUAUUAACAACAUAUAAUUUGUUUAUUUUAUAUAUGCAACAAUGUAUACCAUUGAAUUCCAGAAAAAUGUUUACCACAUGCAAAUAUUUUGUUUUUCCUUGAAAAAACCAACAAGCUUGCUAAGGGCGAUGAUGAUAUUGAUUGUUUUACAUCUGCGGAAAUUCCUGACAAAACAAAGGAACCAGAGUUGUAUAAGGUAGUAAGGGAUAGUAUCCUGCAUGGACCAUGUAGAUGAUAUCACUCAAAUUAUCCUAAAUAGUGAAUUUACUCUCUCAAAUAAGAGGUUCAAUUGCAGUACUUAGGUAUUAAAUCCACAAGGAGCUAAGGAACCUAAUAAAGCUAAUGGGAUUUGUUAAGUUGGAUAGUUUAAUGAUUAAAUUGUAAAUUUUCAGUUUUGUUGAGAAAGUAAUUGCUCGAUUGAUUGGUUGAGGUUUUGGUGCUUAAAAGGAAAUAGCUAGACUUAGGGUUUUUAUUGAAAAUUUGAAAUUAUAAUCUUACAGAUGCCUAAUGAGUUGCAUGCAUGAUAAUGUAGAGCUCAACUACGAAACAACAAGUUCUGGACUUGUCUAUUAACUAGAUCUAAUGACCCAAACAAAUGUGUUCAAUCAAUAGCAAGUGUCGAUCGAUUAUCCUAUAGGGAUAUCGAUCGAUAUACCUUUCAUUCCGUCGAUCGAUGGAUAAUCGAUCGACGCACCUCUAGUUAAGCUUUAUGCGCGGGUUGAAUGAUGCUCACUAGAUCAGCUAUCGCCUUACUCUAGCAAGAAACUUAGCUCAAUUAGAAUGGUUUCAGGAUGAGAAUGAAGCUAUCCCUUUUAUCUAACAAUCCUAGGGCAAGUUCUAGGUAGCUAAUCUAGCAUCAUGUAUUAAUGACAAUCCUAAUGAUUAUUAUCACAACUCAGCAAUCUAUAGUUGGAGCUAAUCCCUCAUAACCUAUUUAAACCUAAAAUCUAACAAUGAAACUACUCAAAUAUGACCAAGCAAUUCAUAACAUCAAUUAUGUAAGAAAACAUCAUUAGAAUAGUAAAUAUACAUCAAUGGAGUUCCAAUCACAAAUAUAACUUUGGAUCUUUUCUCAAAUCUAUCAAAAUCCUAAAAACCUUUUGCUGAUAAUAGUAAAACAAGAAACACAAGAAAGCACCAUUUGCCUCUAACAUGGUGGCAAAGCUUAUAUAACUAGGUUAAAACUCGUUAGGGGUAAUCUUGUAAAUUGGUGAAGACUUGGGCUUCAAUUCGGCUGCGACCAAACGGGCUUUCUGUGUGUUUCGCUGUCGAUCGAUAUUCUGAUGUGAACAUCGAUUGAUAUUAGUUCGUCAAUAUUGACCGAUGCUCGAGUUCGAUGGUCAUCUCGGGUGCUUGCUCCAAGUAUCUCCAAAAUGCUCCAAAAUCAUAACUUAUCUCUAAAUCACUCCUGAUCUUAUAAAUACAAUAAAUAGACUCUAUAAUAUAAUAAUUACUAGUAAAAACACCUAUAAACCAUGGGUGAAAGUGAGUCAAAUCCAUGGUCUAUCAACUCCCCUAGACUUAUCCUUUUGCUUGUCCUCAAGCAAAACAAACAGACAGUCUCUCUGAAAGAAGUUUGUAAACAGCAGAGACUCACACAAUUUUAAACUUAGAGUCCUCACCUCUACAAUAUUGCAAUCAAUAUCUAAGAAGUCCUAAUCACAAAAGAACAUUAUACCAUAUUCUAGCUUAGCAACCAAAUUCACCUAGAUAAUAACUUAGAAAAUAUUGUCUGACAUUCCCCUCUACCAACCUCAUUUCUUAGCAUACAUAAAAGUGCAUGCUUUACAUUGAGGGUAUCAAUCACAUGAUGCAAGGAUUUUCAAACAAGUAUAUGGACCUGCAGCUAAACAUUAGUUCAUAUCCUCUCUCUCUACUAAUUUUCUCUCUUAGUCAAAGUCUGCUUAUAUUUGCAAGAUCAUUGACCAAGAUUAGACAUGCUUCCAUGAAUCAAGCCUUAAUGGUGGUUGCCACCAAGUCCUGUUCACGUUUUUUUGACCUAUAUCCUAAAAAUUAUUUGUGAAUCAAGCCUUAAUUGUUGUAGCCACCAAGUCCUAUUCUAAUCCUUUACCUAUAGAAUUCUUAUGAAGCAAGCUUUAAUUGUUGUAGCUACCAAGUCCUAUUCGAAUCUCUUCCUACUAAAUCUCUAAUAGAUAUGUAUAUAUAUAUAUAUAUAUAUUUAAAAUAUUUCGAAAAUAGAGAGAAAGAGGGUGAUAAAUCUAUCUACACAAUGUUUUACCUUCCCGACUUGUUUGAAGAAUCCGAUCCCAUGUAUACCAAGUCCCAAGAUAAGCAGUUGUGUCAAGUUUUAGUGUUGGAGGUCAGCUUUGGUUCCAUGAAACAAUCUCAGCAAGUGUAACAUAGUUGACACGUUGAUCCACUUUAGUACCUUAAGUCUAGAAUGAUGCUAAAGAGUGGUUAGAUAACAAGCAAAAAUCUAAUAUGUUCAUUAUCCCCUUCUUGACUCAAUAAAAACUUUAUGUUUGAAAAUAUUUUUAAAAUUCAUGAAUAAACUAAUAUCAGUAAACCUCCCCCCAGACUUAAACUACACUGUCUCCAGUGUAAACUUAGUCAGAGUUAUGGUGUUAAUUAAAUCAUAAGUACUUAAUGUAACAAGUUAGAACAAUAUACCAUAUCAGAAUGAUUGUCGACCGAUGUAAGGAUGUUUAUAUCGGUCGCGACAGGUUGAGCUCUGUCGAUCGAUGUCGACAGUGUCUCGUCGGUCGAUACUCACGGCAAUCAUCUACUCGUAUCUCUCUCUUAUAUAUAUAUAUAUAUAUAUAUAUAUAAUGACCUGCAAUAAUUAAAAACCAACAUAAAUAGUAGAUUAAUAAAAACCAAAUAAAUAUUACCUAAUAGUAGAUUGCCUUCCACUCAGUGCUUUGUUAUAGUCAGUUAGCUUGACUUUGGAAGUGAUUUGGGCUAGUGAUGUUGAAAGAUGGCACUUGUUGCGAAACAAGUCUCCAUCUCUUCUUUGCGCUUGUUGAACCAUGUACCAGUGAAGUCUCGCAUUGCUUCAUCUCCUCUGCGCCAUUUGUCCUUCAUUAUUGUAGUUGCAUAUUCUAUAUUCUGCAUUCUAUCUCCAAGACUCUCAAGAGUGAACUGAUAUCUCAUAAGUCUGGCGUAUGUGUCAGCUGAGAUCUCCUCUCCACGGUUGUGUGUAUCAGACAUAUCUGAUGUCACCUUUUGUACUAGCCUCGCUCGGUUUGAAGCUUCGUCGACCGAUGUCUGUCCUUGAAUGUCGGUCGAUUUAUUGUUGCGUUUGUCGAUCGAUGCUGAUGCUUCUAGUCGACGGGCAAUGUAACUCCGAAUCUCCACUAAUUCCCCUUAAAUAUCUUCUAUAUUGGAAGUCAAAGCACUAAUGCUAAGAUUCAUUUGGAAAUAGAUGUCAUCACAUCUCCUAUCAAGCCUCUCUUCUGUAGUUUCCAGAGCUCUGUAGAUCCCUUCUACCAACAGAUCUAUCUCCCCCGCGUGUGAAAAUCUGGUUUAGACGUCAUCGUAUGUGAGUGUGGUGGAUUGUUGUCGACCGAUGCUUGUAAUCGGUUAUCGAUCGAUGCUUGGAAGUGGCUGUCGAUCGAUGCUUGUCGACGUCUGUCGAUCGAUGUAGGGCGAGAAACGUCCAUCGCAUGUUGAAUUCUGGCUAUGUCUUGCCUCAUCUCUUCCAUGCAUGUAGUUAGGCAACUGAUACUAUCAUUCAAUGGAUAGUUGACUCCAUCAAGCUUCAUCUUGAAGUCUUCUUUGUUCUUCUCUUGUUUUCCGCAGAUUCCAUAGAACAUCUCAUUGAUCUCGUCCUUGGUGUAGAUCCCUGGUACUAGCUUGGUUUGAGUGAAUGAGCUAGCAUGUUCUGGAAGACAGAUGUAGUUGGGGUCAUAUCUCGAAGCUCUUUCCAAAAGUAUUAUGAUAUCUUUGUUGUGAACGCGAAUGGUGUGUCCAUCUACGUCUCUGGCGUAUCCCUGCUCAUCUCUGUAGAUUACAUACACAUCCUUCUCUUCCCAGUAGAAUUUCCUAGAAACGAAAAGAUCAAAGGCUCUUCUGCCAAAUUCAGGACGUCUGUCGACCGAUGUUGGAAUGUCAACGUCGAUCAAUGGUCGAGUAGGGUGUCGAGACCUCUGUUCGAAGCGUUUAUCUAUGCCACCAGCUGUGUCAUAGAACUUCUUUGUAACCUUCUGCUAGUGUUCUGGAAUGGUGUGUUGUUGCAUGAAGAGGUUGUAUGCCCCAUUAGCUGUCUGAAGGAUGUCUGCAAUAUCCUCUCGAGAUACGUGCAGUGUACGUAUCUAUUGCUUUUGCAUAGCCAUCUGGGUUUCUGAAAAUACCAAUUUCGUCUGGAGUUAGAUACUGGUUAUCAGAUAUUUUUUUUCUUACAAUGGUUUUUGGUUUUGGACGGCUGUCGAUCGAUGUUGUAUGGUUGAUGUCGAUCGAUGUCGAAGGAUUGAUGUCGAUCGAUGGAGGUAUCGUUAUGUCGAUCGGAUGGCUGAAAUGUGUUCUUUUCCAAGAAGCUUCUGCUCGUUUCUAAUCUGUUUCAUUGCGUCUUUGCAUGUUGAGAAGUUUCUCAUAUGUGAAAUCCUCAUCAAGUUCAUCAACUCCUUGAUCAUGGUAUGAUGUCUCUACUGCCUAACUUCCAAUUGAGUAAUCUCCGUCUCGGGUAGCGUGACGGUUGUGUCAAUCGAUGGGUAGUAGGCGAUGUCGGUCGAUGCUCAAAGGUGGUUUGGUUGAGGAAGUUGAGUGUCGAUCGAUGUUGAACCAUUCCUGUCGAUCGAUGGCGACUUCUUUUUCCAAGAGGAAUGAUGGAGAAGUCUAUCUUCCUCGUCAAGAGUCGCUCUUUGCUCUAUAGCUCGCUCUUCCUCAUAAUCUUCAUCAUACUCCUCCGUAUGCAUGUUGUGUGCUGCCAUAGUGGGAUUAUAGUAAUCGUUUUCCCAUUCUCCUUGUACUGUCGACCGAUUCUUAUCUUGCUGUGUUGGUCGAUUUUUUCUGGGCACUGUCUGUAAUAACCCUCACGAGCCAGUUAAUUUUUGGUCGAGAAAAACUCCGCUCGACCAGUUUGGAGUUGGUCGAUCAGAUUUAAAAAUAAAGUCGACCAGGUGAAUUAAUACCUCGACGGGACUGUCUUGUGGUCGAAAGGCCUCUUAUUGAUAGUUCUGGUAGAGUGUUAAUAAUGUUGGUCGAAUUUUGUUUAAGCUAGGCAAGCUUAGUUGAAAGCAAGACGAGAUUCGAAGGAUGAGAAAUUUUAGUCGAAAACUGUCCGAAAUUGUCGUUAAGUUUCUUAACUAAAUUCCGACCAGUCUAAUACCUUCACCAGCUAUUCUGCUUGCUUUCUCAGUAGAUCAAUCACAUGAGCUGCACCUACCUGCUUGCUUGCUUCACUAAAGUCACAUGAAAGUCACAAGCUGGUUGCUUGUUUAAUAAAAACAAAAUAAUCUUUCUUCAAAGGAGGGAAAGGACAGCAACUUGCUUUGGUUUAAGUAAACCCUCAGCUGAAGCAACCCCUCAUGCUACAAAAUACCUUCUUCUCUCUUCUGGACGUCCUGUUGCACAAGAAAAACCAGAGAAAAUUUCAAAGAGAAAGAAAAGAGAAAAAUCUGUGAGAAAAACUCAUGCAAAAAUUCAAAAAAAAUCAGAGAAGAGAAGUGAGCAUGGACGACCCUUUCUCACCCUUCUGUGAAUUUAAUCAGUGAGUUUUGGAGUGUUUAAGAGCUGAAGAUUUGGCGUCCUGAAGUAGAGAAUCACCCAUGUUCUUCAGCCUUUGAUUUUGAUCAGUAAGAUGGUUGUGGACCAGUUUCUUUGAGAAGUUUUGUUGGUUUGCCUACACUAGAGAUAAAUUCUGAAUAAAUCCAACCAUGGAUUCUUGUGGUGUUGAUCAGGUUAAUUCGUGGUUAGCUUGAAGAGAGACAACCAGUCAAGUUUAAUUAGUUGAGUAAAACCAGUAAGCUUCAGCUUCUUGAUCCAGCCAUGUUUUGAUGAGAACCAAUUGCUGUAUGUUGGUUAACCUCAUCUUACUCAGCCUGUUGUUACGAGUCCUCAACCCGUUGUACCAGUUAACCCACCGUUACCCUUACCUCUUGCUAAGCGUCAAGCCACUGCUGGUAGGGAUUAUGCUUUAGAGUUACCAGGACCAUCCGGACCACCUCAGGGUCCGAUUUCAUGUUUGUUUUCCUAACCAAUUGAGUGUUGCAUAAUUUUUAAAUGAUUGGUAAAUUGGUGAUAUAAAAAAUAUAGUAUAAAAGUUGUUGAGUAAGUAAUUGAUGGAAAGUCAAUUAUUGUCAGCGACUUUGCUUGUGGGUGGAAUAUCCGCCCACAUCCUUUUCGAUUCGGGAGGAACACAUAGUUUUGUAACUCCCGAAGUAGCAUCAUGAUUCGAUGGAGAAUUCACUAAGGUGAAUUUAUCCAUUCCCAUUCUAACUCCUGGAGAUCAAGUUCUUGAAACUGAACGUUGUAUUCUAAGAGUUCCAAUCAUUAUCCAAGAUAUGGUUUUUCCAGCUCAUUUGUUAGUUCUUCCAUUAGAGAGGUACGAGGUAAUCUUAGGGAUGGAUUGGCUGUCAAGUUACCGAGCUCACCUUGAUUGUGGUCGAAGGAAGAUUGUUUUCGAGAGAUAUACCCAACCCCCUUUAGCUUACCAUGGCAUAGUACCAAGUGCUGGAGCGUCAUUAGUGUCAGCACUGAGAAUUGAAAACCUUUUGGAGAAGGGUGAAGAAGUAUACUUAGUGAACUUAGUUGCUGGACCAGUAGAAGACGAGAAAGAGCAAAACAUGGAAGAAAUACCAGUAGUCAGAGAAUAUGAGGACGUGUUUAAAGCAUUAGAGGGAUUGCCGCCGUCUAGUAUAACCUUAGGACCCGGAUCCGCUAUAAUGGCAAAGGCACCAUACCGAAUUGUCGCUAGAGUUGGAGAAGUAGCCUAUAGACUAGAACUUCCACCCGAUAUGCCUAUGCAUCCAGUAAUUCAUGUAUCGAUGCUGCGUAAGCAUAUACCAGAUCCGAAUAUGGUCGAGCCGCAGCGACCAGAGAACUUGCAACCUAACCUCACCUAUCCUGAAGGUCCUUUGCGAAUAGGCGAACAUCGUUUCAAUAAAUAGAAGAAUAGGGAAAUUUUGCAAGUUCAAGUAUUUUAGGAAAAGCGACAGAGAGUUGUCAUAACAUGGGAGGAUGAAGAUAAGUUCCGAGUUGAUUACCCAGAACUCUUCUCAGAUACCCAGUCGUCCAGUAAAGGGUGUACACUUGAAUUUUGAGAAUUCGGGGACGAAUUCUUUUAAGGGGGGAAGAGUGUAAUAACCCUCACGAGCCUAUAAAUUUUUAGUCGAGAAAAAUCCCGCUCGACCAUAUUUUGUUGGUUCGACCAUGAUUAAUAAAAAUAAAAAUCGACCCGGUAGAUUAAUUUCUCCACGGGACUGUCUUGUGGUCGAAAGACCUUCACUUGAUAGUUUGGCCGAGUCUUAAAUAUUUUGGUCGAAUUUUUAUUAAGCGGGACGAGACUUUCGGAGAACAAGACAAGAGACAAAGACAAGGAAUAUUUGGUUGAAAAUUAUUUAAAAUUAUCAACCAACUGCCUAAUUAAUUUUGGACCAGACUCAUGUCUUCCACCAGCCUGCUUGUUCAGUAUUCAGUCACUUGACCUGCACCUGCCUGCUUACUUAGCUUCUUCAGUAAAUGGCACAUGACAAUCACAAGCUGCAUGUGUGCUUGCUUCCUCCUUUAAUUAUUUAUGAUUGGCUGGAAACUGCUUCAUGGGAGGGAAAGGACAGUAUGGUGUUGAUGAUGAAACAGGUUGCCAGCUGUCUGCUCUCAGCCAAGCUCGGUUAUGAGCUAAACCCUCAUAUGAAGUAACCUCAGGUUGUAUUAAACUCUUCUCCAGCUGCGUCCCACGUUUUUAAACCUACAGAAAAACCUAGAAAAUUUCAGAGAGAAAGAGAGAAAGAAAAACAGAAAAGUCAGUGAGAAAAAUCAGGAAAAUAAAUCAAGAAAAAAAUUGGUGGUGAUCAAAUCUUCAACCCUAGCUCAGUUUGGUUCUUGAGAAAGAUCAGACGGUGAGAUUUUUAAAUAAAACUCUAGACCUAGUUGAGUUCAAAUCAUGAUCAGACCUUGAUCUUUCUCUUUGAUCAGUCCAGCCACAAGCUUACCUUGGAGAAGAGGAUCAGCUGAGGCCAUCUAGUCCUUUGGUUUGUCUUGGUAAGCUUUGGUCCCCUAGCCUCUGUCAGUAUCUGAUCAGAACAGUUCAUGGCUACCUUAGAUCUUGGUCGGAUCAGUUGUAUAAGUUCUGAUACAGUUCUGCUCUUGUUUAGUUUCGGUUUGAGUUCAUUUCUUAAAACAGUUUGCUAAGCUGUUAUGGAUUGAUUGGCCUUAAACCAAACUGAACUCAGUCUGAUCUUGUCCUGAACUGUUGUUAACUGAAUAUAACUGAACUGAUCUGAUCUGGUAUGAGAGGAACCGAGCUUGAACUGAAUUGAUUUAAGUAGUUUAGUCUGAACCGAACUGUCAGAUUGUUGAUGUUCUGAACCAAACCUUGGUCUGUUUUGAUCAGUUAAGGUGUGGAGCUUUGCUAGUCCCAUCCUGUCCUUUCAGCCUUGUUCAAGAGGAACUCAAGUCUUGUCCAAGCCAGUUUCAAGACUGUUCUUUAGGUAAGUCUAGACAAAAGAUGAGAUAGAUUGUUGGGGUCAAAAUCGGUUGCAACGGAAUCAAUGUCUGAAAGUCCGUAAAAAUCAGCAUGAACGUUUUUACGAAAACUAAUCUUCGUAGAGAUAUCUUUACGAAGAGCCUUGCGGUAAAAUCUUGUUCAAAUCACAAUCGAACCACUAAAUACCGAUUGUCCGAAGGCAACAGACAUGUAUCCAAAUCGGCCGCGGGAAAGCUCGAGUAUGGAAAUCGGACCGCGGACAAGCCAAGCUCGAUCGAUACGCGGCGACCAAGCAUGCACACAGCUCAGUCGCUACGUAGCGACCGAGCGUCCGUCCGGCUCGGUCUCUAUGCAGCGACCGAUCUUGGUCGCUACGUAGCGACCGAGCGUCCGUCCUGCUCGGUCGCUACGCAGCGACCGAGCUCGAGCCAAGCUCGGUCGCUACGCAGCGACCGAGCGUCCGUCCCGCUCGGUCGCUACGCAGCGACGGAGCUCGAGCCAAGCUCGGUCACUACGUAGCGACCGAGCGUCCGUCCCGCUCGGUCGCUACAUAGCGACCGAGCUCGAGCCAAGCUCGGUCGCUAUGUAGCGACCGAGCGUCCGUUCCGCCCGGUCGCUACGUAGCGACCGAGCUCUUCCGAAACGUCGAUACGACACCAGUCCAUGCAUUCUCGUCUAUCAUUCGAUGCUAUCUCCCGAAGACCAUAGCAAACUCAGUUCAUGUUUUCCGCCAUUCUAAAUAAUCGAUCAAACUUUGCGGAUAAAACUGCGGAAAGUUCGUUCUUUAUCGAAAGAAGUCGCAGUAAACGCUUUGAGUCGGAAGACGGCCCAAAGGGACCUAAAACACGAUUUGAGGCCCAUCCUACGACUCCUUAACCAAAAGCCCGUAAACCGUAGCGCGGUUUACACUUGGCGCGCAAGGAAGGAUAAAUGUCAAGUUUCCGGGGAUAAAUACCAAAUUUUGAGAAUAAUUACGAAGAUCGGAAAAAAUGGAAUAUCUCCAUUUUAUGCUAUGACGGCUUAAGGGCAGAAGAGUAAAAGCGUAAACCGACCUUGGAGCUAGUAUAUAAGGAGUCCUAGGCGAGAGGCAUGAGGGAGGACUUUUUAGAUUCAGAAUUCUCUGCACUUAGAAACUUUAGGCUUUAUUCUCGACAAGUUCGGUUUCUAUGACUGGCACUCAAUUACUAGAUGAACUCGCCCAGGCAGUUCAAUCUCUUGUCCAGCUCUAUCAAUUGAACUACGUUCGGCUUGAUCCUCGAAAGGGGUACGUAGGCAGCCUUUAACAAGGUUCAGUCCGAAAUCAAUCAAAAACCUUUUCUGUAUCUUUUUCGUCUUUUGUUAUCGAGCUGCGACUCAACUAGGUUUGAGCUUUUAGGCCGCUAGAACUAGAUAACUCGCUGACAGCCUUUGCGGCCAAAGCUUUUAUGAUCUCUUGUCAUGAUCGCAACGAUCUUACGCAGACUCGAAAUAAGAUCUACUGUUUUCUCUAAACUCGUUUGUUAUCUUUUCACGAUUUCCGCAUAUAUUUGGUCACUUGUCGUUGGCUCUCGCAGAGAUCCGGGACCUCUGGGAAAUUAGGGUUUUCUUAGUUUCCUAAUUUAAACGUAAAUCGACAGUGCGAAUUUCGGUUCCCACAUAGAUUAUGAAUGAGUACAUGAUUGACUUUAAAUUGUAGUAUCUCAAUUAGAUAGUAAAGUCUUUGAAUCCUUUAAGAAGUGUAUGGUGUUUACUUAGUGUAAACACUUACACUUCAAGAUUAAUCAAAAGGUUAAAGUGAGGUUAAUCAUAAUCAUAGUACUUGUUCUCAAGUACUAAUCUUAAUUAUAAAAUAAUCAUAGUUUUGAUUAUGGAUUAAUCUUGGUUUAAUUAAGAAUUAAUCUUAGUUUAAUUGAGAAUUAAUCUGUGAUUAAUUAAGGAGUAAUCAUGAUUAAUUAAGUACUAAUCUCAGAUUAAUUGAGAAUUAAUCUGAGAUUAAUUAAGGAGUAAUCAUGAUUAAUUAAGUACUAAUCUUGAAUUAAUUAAAGAUUAAUAUGAGAUUAAUUAAGGAUUAAUAUAGGAUUAAUUAAGAGUUAAUUAUGAUUAAUAUAGGAUUAAUUAUGGAUUAAUUUUAGAAUAAUUAUGGAAGUAAAAUCAUGUGAAGUCUUGUUAUAUUCACUAUCCCUAAAGCCCCUGCAUUACCGUGACUUGGUCCUGCGAACGGAACAAGGUCAUGAAGACACGAUGAUGGGGUAGCUCCCUGGAGACUGUGUACUGCAUGACGAUGCAGUGUCGGAUUGUUCAUACCGGAUAUUCGACAAUGAUGGUGAUGCUAACUCACUAGUCUCGGUUAGCCUUAGUAGUUUCUCGGAUCUAGUAUAUAUAUUGUAUUAUAUGAGUAUGGUAACGGGCGGGUGUUGCGGAAGUGAUGUUUAAAAUAAGAAUUCACAAUGAUGAUCGAUAUUAAAGUAUAGUACUAGUACUUGCAUGAUCAUGUAUAUGCAUUUGAUAACUGUUUCGUUUAUUAUUGAUUGUGUUGUGAUUCUAGAUUCACUGAGUAAAUUAGUUGCUCAUGACUCAUUCGUGUGUGCAGGUAACCCUUAGGCGGGAGAAACUUUACUUUUUGGACGGAAGGAACGACCAACCAGCGGUAGUAUUUUGUUAUCCUUGCAACGUACCUUUUGAUGUAUAUUUACUUAAAACGUUGUUGGGCAAUAGGCCAUAGGAUAAAACUAUAACACUUUGUAAGAUGUUUAAAGUAAAUAAAUAAUGUAUAAAAGAUGUUUAUAAAUCACGAGUUCUCAUAUGAUAUUAGUCCUUGUCCGGGAUGAACUAACUAUCGAAUAUUGCUUUAUCGGGUUGAAAAGCCUAGAGUAAUAUUCGAUAGGAGCGUCUGUGUUCUUUGGUUGUUGGUCUAAGGCGAUCGGAUUUAUUUCGAGAACCUCAGGUCGACCAUCAGGGAACAUCGACCGUGUCAUAUCCGGUUAUCUAUGAUCGGGGGUGUUACAAUGGUGUGCAGUCCUUAGAAUCUCCUCUUGAAGUCCUUCUCCUUUCGGAACAGUUACUCGACCAUUGAGUAACAAAGUUCCAUCACUCGCAACUUGAUAUCCUCCGAAGUUUCCUUCAUUCAACUGCUCUCGUAUCUUCUUCACGUUCACAUCUCUCAUUUGAUAUUCUCGGAUACGAGAAAGUAAACCAGCUUGGCUUACUGCUUGUAGUCCUAGAGGUUCUCUUUCCUCUCCUUCUAAGGCAGCCAAACUAACCAUCUUGAAUUCUGCUUCUAGGCUCUGGAGUUCUUUUUCAAUAUCCACAUCAACUUUCGUUCUGCUCAAUGCAUCAUCAACAACGUUGGCUUUUCCUGGAUGGUAUAGGAUCUGCAUGUCGUAAUCAGCUAAGAACUCCAUCCAUCGUCUUUGCCUUAGGUUCAAAUCAGGUUGAGUGAAAAGAUACAUAAGGCUUUUAUGGUCAGUGAACACUUGGAUCUUCUCACCAUACAAGUACGAUCGCCAAAUCCGAAGGGCAAAUACUACUGCAGCCAUCUCUAGGUCAUGUGUCGGAUAAUUCACUUCAUGCUUUCUUAGUUGCCUAGAUGCAUAGGCGAUUACCUUAUCGUCUUGCAUCAGCACACAACCUAAACCAACAUGAGAUGCAUCCGUAUACACGGUGUAUGGUUGGUUAGGCUUAGGCAAUGCUAAGCUAGGUGCAGUCGUCAAAGCUUCUUUUAACUUUUCGAAUGCUUCGUCGGUUUCUAUACUCCAUUCAUAAGCAAUCCCUUUACCGGUAAGACGAGUCAAAGGCUUUGAUACGCUUGCAAAUCCUUGGAGAAAAUUUCUGUAAUAGCCGGCCAAUCCAAGAAAACUUCGAAUCUCGGUAAUAGAAGUCGGAUGGGGCCAUUCCUUAAUAGCAGCUAUCUUUUCUGGAUCGACGGCAACUCCUUCUUCUGACACUCGAUGUCCUAAGAAGCCAACUUCUCUUUUCCAGAAACGACAUUUACUAAGCUUAGCAAAUAGCUGUUGAUCUCGGAGAUGCUCCAAAACUAGUCGUAGAUGCCUUUCGUGUUCUUCUGCACUUUGGGAAUAUAUGAGGAUGUCGUCAAUGAAUAUGAUAACAAACUCAUCCAGGUAAUCCCGAAAUACUUCAUUCAUCAGUCGCAUAAAUGCAGCCGGGGCAUUGGUAAGACCAAAAGACAUUACUAUGAACUCAAAGUGUCCAUAGCGGGUUCUCAAGGCGGUCUUCAUGAUAUCGGUUUCGGAAAUUGGAAUCUGAUGAUAACCUGAAGCUAAAUCACUCUUCGAAAACCAGUUUGUGCCUUGUAACUGGUCUAAUAGCUCAUAAAUUCUUGGGAGUGGGUACUUGUCUUUUAUGGUUACGUUAUUGAUUCCACGAUAAUCGAUACAUAACCACAUGCUUCCGUCUUUCUUCUUUACAAAUAGCACGGGUGCUCCCCAUGGUGAUGAACUAGCACGUAUGAAAACUUUGUCUAACAAAUCAGCUAACUGCUGCUUCAACUCAAUGAGUUCUGCUGGUGCCAUUCGGUAUGGUGCCUUUGCUAUUGCAGCUGAUCCGGGUUCUAAGGUUAUACUAAAGGGGUUACUCCUAGAUGGCGGCAAUCCCUCUAAUGCCUUAAACACGUCCUCAUAUUCUCUGACUACUGGUAUUUCUUCCAUGUUCUGCUCUUUCUCGUCUUCUACUGGUCCAGCAACUAAGGUCACUAAGUAUACUUCUUCACCCUUCUCCAAAAGGCUUUCAAUUCUCAAUGCUGACACUAAUGACGCUCCAACACUUGGUACUAUGCCAUGGUAAGCUAAAGGGGAUUGGGUAUUUCUCUCGAAAACAAUCUUCCCUCGACCACAAUCAAGGUAAGCUCGGUAACUUGACAGCCAAUCCAUCCCUAAGAUUACCUCGUACCUCUCUAAGGGGAGAACUAACAAAUCAGCCGGAAAAAUCAUAUCUUGGAUAAUGAUUGGAACUCUUAGAAUACAGCUUUCAGUUUCAAGAACUUGAUCUCCGGGAGUUAGAACGGGAAUGGGUAAAUUCACAUUUAGUGAAUUCUCCAUCAAAUCGGGAUGCUACUUCGGGAGCUACAAAACUAUGUGUUGCUCCUGAAUCGAAAAGGAUGUGGGCGGAGGAUAUUCCACUCACAAGAAAAGUCCCUGUCAAUAAUUGACUUUACCGUCAAUCACUUACUCAACCACUUUUAUAAUUUUUUUAUAUCACUAAUUCACAAAUCAUUAAAAAACAAAUUAUGCGACAUUCAAUCGGAUAAGAAAACAAACCUGAAAUUGGACCCUGAGGUGGUCCGGAUGGUCCUGGUAACUCUAAAGCGUAAGCCCUACCAGCAGUGGCUUGACGCUUAGCAUGAGGUAAGGGUAAAGGUGGGUUAACUGGUCUGGCAGGUCGAGCACUCGAAACAACAGGCUGAGCAAGAUGAGUGCGGGGACAUUAUGUCGCGUAAUGUCCUCGCUCUCCACACGUGAAACAAGUGAUGUGAGAUGGUACAGCCGGUUGGAACUGUCCCACGGUCGGACAAUCUCUCUUAACAUGGCCCAGCUGGCCACAAGUGAAACAAGUUGGGGUUCUAAGUCUAGGACCUCCAGAUCGAUCUCCCCGAAAAGCUCUACCUCCCUGUCCUCGCUGCACAGCAGAAUGCGGCUGAGGCUGGAACGGAACAGAUGGACGUCUAGGUUGUGUGGCAUUGCUAGAAGAAGCUCUCUCAGCAGCAAUGGCCUCCUCAACGUUCACAGCACUCUCAACAAGAUCAGCAAGCUGAUAAAAAUCUACUGACUCAAGUCUGCUCCUGAUAUAUGGGUUAAGUCCUCGAAGGAACUUACGGAUAAUCAUCAUCUCGUCCUCUCGACCAUAGUGGACAUACUUCCUGAGACGGGUGAAAUCUGCCUCCUACUUCCUAACAGAUAAUCCUCCCUGAACUAGCUCCAUGAAUUUAAUCUCCAAUCGAUCACGGGCUUCCGGUGGGAAGUACUUUCGAACGAACGCUGUACGAAAGCCAGCCCAACUCAGAUCGAAGUCUCCAAAGUUCCUCUCUACGCAUAACCACCAACUGAUGGCGUCCUUCUCUAGAUAGUAAACAGCCACGUCCUUUUUAAAUUCUUCCGGACAACGGGUUGCAGCAAAGUUCUGCUCGAGAUUGUGAAGCCACGCAUCAGCUUCAAAGGGAUCAGUGCCUCCCUGGUAAUGCUUCGUCCCCAAGUUCUUCAUAAUCAUGACUAUCUUCAGGAAGUCCGGGUGAAAAGUGGUAGGUACUGGAGCUGGCUGAGGACCUGUGCUUCUCGCUGUGCAUUCAAUGCUUGAUAUUGCAAAUUCACCAUCUCAGCCAUCAGUUCCAGAAGUGCUAUCAUAGCUGGAACGGUUGGCGCUGGUUGAGGUUGUGCUGCCGGAAUAGGUGUGGCAGGGGCCGGUGGAAUAUGAGCGGCAUGAGAUGCAGGAGUUGCGGGAUGAUCUCCAUGCACUGGACUAUCUUGUACCACAUCCACCUCGAUGUCCAUAAACUACGGGUCUGGAGACAAAGAAAUGUGCUCCGGUGUCUGAUCAUAUGACCCUUCAGACGGGUCAGUCUCAAAGCUAGAGCCUGAAGGUGUAGCCUCAAAUCUAGGAGUCGGAAGUGGUGCCGGAGUAGAUGGCGGCGAGGAGUCUGAAGAUGAUUGAAUAGGUAUCGGUAGAUAAUGUCCACCACAAUGUGCCUGUCUUGGUGGCAUCUGCAACAAAAGAUCAUGGUAAGUUUCUACCCAGGUCUAUCAAUUCCUAAAAGAAGGAACCAACCAGCAUAUCCUAAUUAUCCUUGCGACACAUUUUUGACUCGAAAGUUUUUUUUUUUUUUUUAAUACAAGUCCCAUUCUAGCAUCGUAUAACAAUGCUCUGAUACCACCUUUGUGACACCUCCGAUCGUAGAUAACCAGAAAUGACACGGUCGAUGUUCCCUGAUGGUCGACCCGAGGUUCUCGAAAUAAAUCCGAUCACCUUAGACCAACAGCCAAAGAACACAGACACUCCUAUCGGAUAUUACUAUAGGCUUUUCAACCCGAUAAAGCAAUAUUCGAUAGUUAUUUCGUCCCGGACAAGGACUAAUAUCAUAUGAGAACUCGUGAUUUAUAAACAUAUUUUAUACAUUAUUUAUUUACUUUAAACAUCUUACAAACUGUUAUAGUUUACCCUACGGCCUAUCGCCCAACAACGUUUUAAGUAAAUAUACAUCAAAACAUACGUUGCAAGGACAACAAAAUACUACCGCUGGUUGGCCGCUCUUUCCGUCCAAAAGAUUUAACUGUCUCCCGCCUAAGGGUUACCUGCACACACAAAUGAGUCAUGAGCAACUAGUUUACUCAGUGAAUCUUGAAUCACAACACAAUCAAUAAUAAAUCAAGCAAUUAUCAAAUGCAUAUACAUGAUCAUGCAAGUACUAGUACUAUACUUUAAUAUCGAUCACCAUUGUAAAUUAAUAUUUUUAAACAUCACUUCCACAACACCCGCCCGUUACCAUAAUCAUAUAAUACAAUAUAUAUACUAGACCCGAGAAACCACUAAGGCUAACCGAGACUAGUGAGUUAGCAUCACUGUUGGGGUCAAAAACGGUCGCGACGGAAUUACCACCCGAAAAUCCUCGGAGAUCGUAUUUCCGAAAGAGAUAGUAAAAGAAGGAUACAACUUUCGUAAAUUCCAUAAAAUAUAACCAAUACGAAGUUUUUACGAAGAAGUAUCCUUUGAGGUUCAAACCAAACAAACCAAGCUCGAUCACCACACAUACACGCCGUCCGGUCGCUAUACAGCAACCAAACCCGAGCCAAGCUUGGUCGCUACGUAGCGACCGAGCGUCCGUCCCGUUCGGUCUCUACGUAGUGACCGAGCUCAAGCCAAAGCUCCGUCGCUACGUAGCGACCGAGCGAUCGUCCCGCUCAGUCGCUACGUAAAAGCUCGGUCGCUAUGAAAAAGCUCGGUCGCUACGUAGCGACCAAGCUCAAGCCGAAGCUCGGUCGCUACGCAGCGACCGAGCGUUCGUCCCGCUCGGUCUCUACGUAGCGACGGAGCUCGAGCCGAAGCUCGGUCGCUACGUAGCGACCGAGCGCUUGUCCCGCUCGGUCGCUACGUAGCGACUGAGCUCAAGCCAAAACUCGGUCGCUACGUAGCGACCGAGCUCGAGCCGAAGCUUGGUCGCUACGUAGCGACCGAGCUCAAGCCAAAACUCGGUCGCUACGUAGCGACCGAGCGUUCGUCCCGCUCGGUUGCUACGUAGCGACCGGGCUCGAGCCGAAGUUUGGUCGCUGUGUAGCGACUGAACUCUUCUGGACAUCGACAGACAUCAAUCCAUGCAUUCUCGUCAAAUCUUCGAACGCUAUCUCCGGAAGAUCGUAGCAAGCUCAGUCCACGUUUUCCGCUAUUCCAACUCAUCGAUCAAACUUCAUGGAUGAGAAACCGCGGAAAAUUCGUAGUAAACGUCUCGAGUCGGAAGACGGCCCAAAGGGACCUAAAACACGACUCGAGGCCCAUCCUACGAUUUUUCCUAACCAAAAACCCGUAAACCACAGCAUGGUUCACGCUUGGUCCACGAGGAAGGAUAAAUGUCAAGUUUCCGCGGAUAAAUACAGAAGUUUUGAAGAUAAUUGUGAAGAUCGGGAAAAAUGGAAUAUCUCAAUUUUUUAUGCUAUGACGGCUUAAAGGCAGAAGAGUAAAAGCAUAAACCGACCAUGGAGCUAGUAUAUAAUAAGUCCUAGGCGAGGAGCAAGAGAGAGAAAUUUUUCCAGAGCAAACUCAGCACUUAGAGCAAUUUAGGCAAUUUUCCGUUUUUGUUAUUUCGAGCUGCGACUCAAUUAGGUUUAGCCGUCUUAGGGUUGCUAGAACUAGGAAUCUCGCCGACAGCUCUCGAGCCCAGGCUUAUACCUUGUUGUAAACGCUCAUACGCAGAUUCGGAAUAAGAUCUUCUUUGCUCUCUUUUUUCGAGUUCUGAUUUUUAUCGUUGUUAUUAUCGUGUUCUGAUUGCUUGACGUGUGGUAAUUAGCAGAUAUCCGGGUCCUCUGGAAAAUUAGGGUUUUCCUAGUUUCCUUAUUUAAACGGAAAUCGACGGUGUGAAUUUCGGUUCCCACAGUUUGGCGCUAGAAGGAGGGGGGGGUACGGAUCAAUCUAACCCACAAAAGCCACACAACUCUCAAUCAGACAUGUCAACUAACGACGCGGAUAACGUGAAAACUCCUCUUAACGGAGGCAGCGGCACCGAUCUCCAUACUCCAGUAGCGGACGUAUCUGCGGCCAACGCGCAAGCCAACGCCGCGACGCUCGAGGAGUUUAAAAAGAUGUUCGCCACCUAUGAGAAAAGGUCGGAAGAACAGGAUAAGCUCGUGAAUACCUUGACCAAACAGGUUGAAACUUUAACGGCAAGAACCCAAGCUAUCCGUCCCCGCGGAACCACCAAAAUCCACGGGAAGAGGCUCGACUUCGCCACCCCACUCGAUAGAGCAGGAGUCGCACGGGAACGACCUUCCGGUCAAAACCCUAGCGAGAAAUCUCCCAUCGAAAAGGGGAACCCUGAAAAUCUUCCGCCCCCUGCAAAGGACUCGGAGGAUAACGAAGCCGAACACAUUGACCUGGAUCCUAGCGAUGUCUCCAACGACACCGACGAGGAUGUCGACAGACAUCCAAGAAGGACCAGAAACCGAUCCCGUCGGGAAGGCUCCCCGUUCGAAAAACCAAUGACGGAAGAAGAAGAAGUCGCCUAUUGGAACGAACAAGAGGAGCUGGCCGAAAGGCAAACCGAGCUCACUCGCAGUAAACGCCGACAGGCUCGGAAAUCUACUGACGAGACAUCGGAUAUCUGCGAUCUUCGCGACUACAUCACUAAGCCUGCGGCAGAAGUGAGAGCCGUAAAGUCUCAAAUCCAUCAUGCUACUAGUGCUGCCCCUGAGAUUGAUCGACUGUUGGAAGGAGCUCGAAAGACCCCCUUUACCAGUCGAAUUUCGGAUAUGAGGGUGUCCGAUCCGGGAAAAAUCAAAGUACCGAAGUACGAUGGUACGGCUGAUCCAAAAGCACACCUUCAGGCUUUCCAUAUCGCGAUGGGAAGAGCAAGACUGAAGGACGGCGAAAAGGAUGCCGGCUAUUGCCGCCUGUUUGUCGAAAAUCUUGAAGGAGCAGCGCUCGAAUGGUUCGCACGCCUUCGUCGCAACACCAUCGGGAGUUUUCGACAGCUCGCAUCGGAAUUCCUCAAACAGUACUCUGUCAUAGACAAAGAAACUUCCGAUGUUGAUCUCUGGAGUCUCUCCCAGAGGAAAGACGAACCCCUCCGCGAGUUUAUCAGUCGGUUCAAGCUGAUAAUGUCCAGGGUCAGCGGGAUAAGCGACAAAGUGGCCAUCGACGCGCUGAGAAAGACGCUCUGGUACAAGUCGAAAUUCAGAAAGUGGAUAACUCUCGACAAACCGCGAACUAUCCAGGACGCCCUCCACAAAGCAACGGACUACAUCAUAGUCGAGGAAGAAACUAAAGUCUUAUCGCAAAAACAUAAGACGGCAAGACCAUCCUCGAAAGUUGCGGAUCCGAAAGGGAAAAAGAAGAACUCUCGUAACGACAAGUACGUCCAUCACAAGGGGGAAGAUCUCCAAGGGGCGCAUAACUAUGCGAUCAAUUCGGAUCAAGGCCGGACCACGGGCAACACAUGGACUCGCAUUCAACGGUACGACGAAAACACCUUCUGCGAGUUCCACCAAUCUCGAGGACACUCCACGACCAACUGCAAAGUCUUGGGAGCAAGACUGGCCGCGAAGUUACUCGCUGGAGAGCUUUCGGAAGUAACUAGCGUCAAGGAUCUCAUCCUCGAUUCUGAUCGGCCUCCAAAGACGGAUAUAAAUCCGCCCGCUGAAAAGUCCCCUCAACGAAACCAACCUGGGGAUAAACGCGGUAGGAGGCCGGAUGACAAAGGGAACGAUAACAAUCUUCGCAGAGUCAAUAUGAUCAUCGGAGGAUCACAAUACUGCGGCGAUACCGUGUCGGCCAUCAAGGCUUACCAACGGAAGGCAAAGUCGAGUGCAAAUUGGCCUACAUGGUCUCCUCCUCGAGACGGCCAAAGUUGCUCGAUCACCUUCACAGAGGAAGAAGCCAGCGGUAUCGACCAACCUCACUGCGACCCGCUCGUCAUAGAUCUCGUCAUACGAGAUUUAGAAGUCGGAAGGGUACUCGUCGACACGGGAAGCACAGUCAACGUAAUCUUCCGCGACACUCUCAAGUGGAUGAGCAUCGAACUCGGAGAAGUAAUUCCGACGCCAAAGCCGCUCACGGGUUUUUCAGGCGAAGUAUCGAUGACUCUCGGAUCAAUCCAAUUGUCAGUCAUGGCCAAGGAGAUCACGAAAAUCGUCGAGUUCGCGGUAAUCGAUCAUCCCGCUAUCUACAACGUGAUCAUGGGAACCCCAUGGCUCAACGCCAUGCAGGCAGUCCCGUCGACCUACCACCUGGGUCUCACUGCGACCCGCUCGUCAUAGAUCUCGUCAUACGAGAUUUAGAAGUCGGAAGGGUACUCGUCGACACGGGAAGCACAGUCAAGGUAAUCUUCCGCGACACUCUCAAGCGGAUGAGCAUCGAACUCGGAGAAGUAAUUCCGACGCCAAAGCCGCUCACGGGUUUUUCAGGCGAAGUAUUGAUGACUCUCGGAUCAAUCCAAUUGUCAGUCAUGGCCAAGGAGAUCACGAAAAUCGUCGAGUUCGCGGUAGUCGAUCAUCCCGCUAUCUACAACGUGAUCAUGGGAACCCCAUGGCUCAACGCCAUGCACGCAGUCCCGUCGACCUACCACCUGGGUCUCAAGUUCCCGACGCCGAGCGGAGUCGCGGCCAUCUGGGGAUGCCAAAAACAGUCGCGACUAUGCUUCCUCGCGGAGCACAAGUUAAGGCAAAUCACGGCUUCUGCAACUGCAAAUGGCAAACGCGCGAAGAUAGAUCGAUCUUCAGCCAAAAGCGCCCCGGGAAAAGACGAAUUAAAAUCGUCUACCGACGCAAAUGCAUCGGACGUCGAAGCUCGACACAAGUCCGAAGCCCACGCUACAACUCAACCGGAACAUCCGGAAAAUAGCGUUGACCCAGCCACGAUCGACACGGUCAAGGCGGACAUCGCGACAUCUACCGCCGAUUAAGAACACUCGCGGCAUGAAACAGAACUACGAGAUGGCUUGAUCCUCGAAAGGGGUACGUAGGCAGUUCGUCAAAAGACGAAUUCAGCUAUCCCCCUCUCUAAAAAGGGGGGGGGGAGUGGGUGCGUAUACUCGUAUACUCCCACUUAGAAAAAUCUUCGUUAUUGUAAUCGAGUUUUUAGAAACUUCAAACACUUUUACUACAAUAUACGUUGUCCUUUUUAUCGAAAACGUUUACGCUUCAGUAAAACACAAAAGAAACUUUCAGGACACGCCAGAAAACGUUAAGAAUCUUAUCUGCGGCCCCUUCCGGCCCAAAAAUCGUAAAGAUUAUCAUCUUUCAAACACACAAAAAUACAUGUACAAUCCUCGAAAUAACUGCGAGACGUCGCAAAAGUUAAAAUUUGAGGAUAAUAUUAACAAAUUGUCCGAACGCGACCACCAAAAACUUACACCCCGUUCGUCGUUUGGGCCCGACGAACACGCUAGCCGUCUUAAACAAACGCAAUUCGAUCACUCUUUCGAUCUUUAAAACGUCCAGCACAAGGACAAAAGCGCGCUACAACAAAAAUCCGAAAUUUUGGUUUAGCACUUCCAGUUAACUCUGAGAAGAUGCUCGAUUCGUACCAUACAAGUCAUAUAAGCCGAGAACCUAUCGCGGACUUUAAAUCGGUACGAGUCAGGAAGAAAUCGCAACAGGAAAAACGAUAGCCGGCUAGUCACCGCACAAACCUUAACCGAAAGUAAACCUAGGUCUUGCCCUAAACCCAACGCUCUGGUCUCAAACAUCUCAAGGCAUGAUAUCUAAAAGAUACGAGAUCCUAAACCAUGUCUCUCCGUUCGUAUCUCAAUGUUCUCGAAAAUCGUAAAAAUAAGUAAAUUUUUGCGAAACUCACGAACGAACCAACAGAUUGAACGUCUAAACAGAGCUAGAUAGGAGAUGACAACUCGUAUUUACUUCGACCUUGCUCAGGAAAACUCGAAACAAAACAUUCAUCAUAUAAAUAAACCGCGUAAGGCGGCAAGGGAUUCAAAGCCACCAACGGCCAGUCCCAGUAAAUACAAAUACGGCCAUCUAGGCCUAAGCAAAAUCCAAAUUCAAAAGGCCACACUCGGCCGAAAACAGAUAAAACAGAAAGACGAACAUAUUUCUUUCGAUAAACUACUCCACCGCUCAUAAUCCAAAGUCAAAGUCCCCGGACAACGAAGCACCGAACGCAUCCGCGGGACGAUCCACUUCCUCACCACCAUCGGGAAACCGGGUCGAAACCUCCUCGGUAUCAGGGGAAACCGGGAUGGGAUCCCAGAACCCUUGAAUCCGCUCGUCGAUCGGAGGUAUAAGCGCCUCAGCAUGGGCAUGAUCAUUCAUCCCACUCUUCAUCAAGCUCAUUUCGUCCUCGAACAUGUAGUCAUCGGCUUGCGUCCUCCAAAGGCUUCCAACCGAACCGCGACACUCACGAAGGUCACCCACCGAGGAAAAGGCAUUCUUGAGGUUCCCAUACUCAACCUGGAAUUGAGAGGCACAAGUCUUCACCACCUCGACGAUUUCCCUUUUGCCCUUCCUUUCCGCUUUGCGGAUAGCCCGCGCAUGAUCGCGAGUAAGUUGCGCCUCUCGCUCCAACAUCUCGCCUUGCACGCGAGCAAGAUCCCGCUCCGCUUUCUCCGCUUUGAAGCGGUAAACCCUGGCUUCUCUAUGACCCGCCUCAAUGGCCGAGCCCAGCAAGCUCAGGCCCUGCAAAAUCGAUUGACGUGUUAUAAACAUACAUGGGACAAUCGCCAAAAAAUUCAAAAAAAAACUAACCCCAUUGAUGAUGCGAGAUCCUUCCGCAACAACUCUCGGCCUCGCCGAUUCCUUCAUAGGAGGAGGAGCAUCGAAACCUGGCGGCAGAUCAGCAAAGAAAUCAUCGAAAUCCGGAAUAGGGACCUCGCUCGAACCACUCCCAUCGCCGUUAGCAAGGUUCGGAUCCCAUCCUGGAAGCAUAGAGUCAUCCAUCGAAAAUUCUAUGUCGCCAAGAUUGACAUCUUUCCCCUUCCAAGAGCUCGACUCCGGCACAGCUCUUGGAGCUUCGACGGGAUUCUGGUCAUCAGGUUCGGAGUCGCUUCCCGUGUCCGCAGCCAAAGCAGGACCGGGUUGCACAAAUCUUAGCGCCUUCCGAACCCUCUUC
RNAcentral lists this long non-coding RNA (88267 nucleotides) under Brassica rapa (field mustard). Its description in RNAcentral is "long non-coding RNA (BRAP_LNC002417)". The record is from RNAcentral. Lineage: Eukaryota; Viridiplantae; Streptophyta; Magnoliopsida; Brassicales; Brassicaceae.